GACGCGCCGUUUGGCCGGGACGGCGUCGUUUCGUUUGAGGACGAUCCCGGCGAAGACGAUGAAGACGGGCUUGUUGCUGCCGGUGUUGAUUCUGAAGGAGGAGACGACAAUGGUGGCGACGGUGUAGUAGCCGGAGCGAAGGGGGAAGGUGGGUAUGAUGGAGGGAUGGUGGAUGGAUAGGGUGAUAGGGAAGGUGGGGAAGGUGGGGAUGAAGAUGAUGGAGGUUGGGUGACAGGGGAAUUGGAAUUUGGAGUUGGGGCAUAGGGGUAGGGUGAUUGAGAUGUUGGGGAAGGAGUGUUUGGAGGUGACGGAAUGUAGGGAGGUUGGGAAAUGGGAGAAGGAGUGGUGGAUGGUGGUGUGGAAAUGUAAGAAGGUGGCUGGGAUAUUGGGGAAGGAGUGGUGGAUGGUGGUGUGGAAAUGUAAGGUGGCUGGGAUAUUGGGGAAGGAGUGGUGUUUGGAGGUGAUGGGAUGUAAGGAGGCUGAGAUAUUGGGGAAGGAGUGUUUGGAGGUGAUGGGGUGUAAGGAGGCUGGGAAGUAGGAGAAGGAGUAUUGGGUUGUGGAGGCACAUAAGGUGACUGAGAAAAGGGUGAUGGGGUUAUUGGAACAAAGGGUGGUUGAUGAUGAGGGGAAGGGGUGUUUGGAGGUAGAGGAGCAUGGGGUGGAUGGUUAUUAGGGGAAGGAGCAUAAGUGGGAGAAGGUGUGUUGGGAGGUAUGGGAGCAUAGGGUGGUUGAGCUUUGGGAGGAAAGGGAAGAUUAGUAGGAGGUGAAGGUGCUUCUGGAGGAGUAUAAACAGGGGGAGGAGUUUGAUGAGGUGGAUAAGGAGCUUUUGGAGGAGAAUAUGGAGGAGGCUCUCUCACAGCCAACACCACAAUAAUAAGUUUCUGACCCUUCUCACAAUUAUAAUCUUUUCCACUGAUGAAAUAAAAGGGACCCGAACGAUCAAACUGAAACUGGGAGGCACCAUCCUCAAACUUCUUGAUCGGGUUCUUCUUGUUACAUUUCUCAUAAUCCUCUUUGUUCACCACCAAAACCGAGUCCGAUCCCUUCUUGUACUUAAAAACUAUGAACAGGAAAAAACAUACAAGUUAAAAGCAUUCAUUCAGAAGGCAGAAAAAAAACUGGAAAGCUUUAGAAUGAAAAUGAACUGACCAAGAGUGUCACUGACUUGGAACCUCAUCCUUUCAGCCCAGUGAUUGUAAUUCUCAGAAGGGUACAAAAGCCACCCAUCUUUUCCACCAACGUUGAAGGUGUAUGCCUGAGACCCCGAGAGGAGACUGAAAAGAAACGACAAGAGACAAAAAACACUAAUCCGAAGCUCCAUGUUGCAGAGAGAGAGAGGAGAGAGAGAAGGAAGAGAGGUGUAGAAAGAAGUGAUGAAAUGGAUUGAUAUAAAGAAAGUGUUGUCCUUGGUUACCGUUGUUGGGGUGCUUGUAGUGUAGGACCAGCGAAGCGUGUUAAACGCGGUGGGGGGGUUUACGUGGGAAGACUAAGACUUACAUGUGGGCAAAUGAUAGAGAAAGAGAAAUUAAAGUUUGAGAAAGUUUGUUUAAUAUAAUAAUAUAUAAUAUGCAGCUACGUGCCACACUUCCCAGCACUGCCAUCUAUCACCAUUCGGACUCAUUUUAUUUUGAAAUUUCCAACCUCACCGAUGCUAUAUGCUUUCUACACAUUAAAAUGUUUCAAAAACAAUAAUAAUAGAAAGAAAACCAAAUCACGGAACUCUAUUGUUUCUGGUAUAUCCAUAUGCUACACUAUUCCGAUUCUCAUUUCAGACCCAUUAAUAAUUCUGCUAUUCCAUGCUUAGAUUGUUCCAAAUCAUAUACUGUAUCAAACAGAGACAGGGACAAAUUUUAAUAGGUUCUUGCUGAUUAACAAAUAUUAAAUUGUUCUCUAUCUUUUGUUCACAUAUAACCUGUGAAGAAUAAAUAGACGGAUUUUAAUUUUUUUCAUAAAGAUUAAAUAUGAAAAUGGUGUGUGUCUGCUUUGAGAGAGAUUAGCAACUAUUGGAAGAGCAUUUGGAUCGUCAAUCUACAGUUAUGCCUUUGGUCCACAAUGACUAUAAUAAAAUUUGAUUUAUUUAAGAAAGAGUAAACGAUAAUUAAGUUUCCAAAGAAAUUAAAUAUUAUUUUAAUUUCACUGUAUUUUAUUAUUAAGUUUUACAAAAUUAUUUUAUUAAUAAAAAAUAUCUUAAAGACCAAUUCCACAUGAACUUAGAUAUUAUUUUAUCAUAAAACUACAGUUUUCUGGAUCAAUUUGAAAAAGUAAUAAAAAUUUAUACUUUUUCAAUAAUUUUAGGUAUAAGUAUCUUGUCAUAUCAGUUAGAAAUGUUAGAAAUGGUCAUGAAAAAAAUAUUAUUAAAAAAAUAUAAAAUAUUAAGUUGAACGUUUAAAUAUGUUUUUUUUAUGUAUUUUUACUUAAAAAUAGCUUCUUUUUAGUUUAAAUUUUUAGAAUUUUUAGUUAUUUGUAAUAAGGGGACUAGAAUAAGUUUUUAUUAAUAUUUUUUUAUAUAAUAAUAAGUUAGUAUGAAAAUAUUUUAUCAUUCUGAUACAUAUUAAAAAUCUAUUCUGAUACGUAUUAAAAACCGGUUUAUCAUGUAGAAAAAAAUAUGAUAAAAGAUUAAUUUCAAUAGUUUCUUUAUUAUAAUAGUCUAAAAUUUAGAAUAGAAAAUAAAAAUUUCUGUGAAAUAAAAGUACAUUUAAUCCUUAAAUUUAUAAAGUUUUUAAUUAAUAAAAUAUAAUUUUAAAAUUAGUUUUUAUUAUUUAAAAUUAAAGGCAAAAUUAGUCAUUUACUAGUUAAGAAAUAAACCUCUAGUCGUCAUCCUUUGUUUUUUUUUUAGUCAAAACGUAUGCUUUGUUUUGCUUUUUCAUAGACUGUUUGGUACGUGAAAUUGACUACCCAGUUAGGAGUUAAUCAUCACAUCCACUUUACAUCAUGUUUUGCUUUUAUUAACAUUUUUAUUAAGUGAUUAGGUUUUUUCAUUAGAUUAGAUGACAAGUGUAAAGUAUUUAAAAUUUGUAUGAAUAACUAAUUUCUAUCAUUUACCCACUUUUAGAAUUUUAGUAGAAUAUACAAGUAUUACUUAAUAAAAAUAUUUUAUAUUAAAAAAAAUCUAUAGUUUUAAAAAUUGGAUUCCUUUUAUAAGAAAACAUUAAAGCCAAACACACCUUAAUUAUUACAUUUUGUGGAUGAAUGUUGACCUAUUUAAAAUUUGUAUGAAUAACUAAUUUCUAUCAUUUACCCACUUUUAGAAUUUUAGUAGAAUAUACGAGUAUUACUUAAUAAAAUUAUUUUAUAUUAAAAAAAAUUCUACAGUUUUAAAAAUUGGAUUCCUUUUAUAAGAAAACAUUAAAGCCAAACACACCUAAUUAUUUCAUUUUGUGGAUGAAUGUUGACCUAUUUAAAAUUUGUAUUAAUAACUAAUUUCUAUCAUAUACCCACUUUUAGAAUUUUAGUAGAAUAUACGAGUAUUACUUACUUAAACUAUUUUAUAUUAAAAAAAAGUCUAUAGUUUUAAAAAUUGAAUUUCUUUUAUAAGAAAACAUUAAAGCCAAACACACCUUAAUUAUUACAUUGUGUGGAUAAAUGUUGACCUAUUUAAAAUUUGUAUUAAUAACUAAUUUCUAUCAUAUACCCACUUUUAGAAUUUUAGCAGAAUAUGCGAGUAUUACUUAAUUAAAUUAUUUUAUAUUAAAAAAUAGUUAUAGUUUUAAAAAUUGGAUUCCUUUUAUAAGAAAAUAUUAAAGCCAAACUCACCUUAAUUAUUACAUUUUGUGGAUGAUUGUUGACCUAGAGAAAGCCAUUAGAAUCCCAUCUAAUCUUGUACUUGGAAUUUAUUGGUGAAGAGUAGAAAUUUCCGAUAUCUGAAUAACAUUAUUGUUUGGUACAAUAACGUUACCAUAUUUUAAAUUAGUAUAUAUGAUGGGACAUGAACACUUAUUUCCUCUAAAAUCUUUAUUUUAAAAAAUCUCCAAGUAAAUUACUAAAAUGACAUCAUUUUUCAUUGAAACUCAAAUAUGCCUUUCAAAUAUCAUUCACAUUUUGUUCCUAUCUUAAAUAAUCUUUUCCAUUUAUACAAUGUGUGAUAUCACUCACUUAUCUUAUUUAAUUAACAUCUAGGUACUUAAUAGUAUACUACUAAUUAAAACGCGUCACUUUACCGUUAGUAUUUAAUAUUAGGUUAUAGGCAUGCUAAGAAUGAUUAUAAGUGUAUUAUUAAUAUUAACUCUCCCUCCCUAAUAUGGCUGUAUCAUUUCUUCCUCUCAUUGAUUGUUUAUUCAAUAUCAAUCUUGUACUCUCUUUUCUUAUAUUUUUUAGUAAAAAUAAACAUAAAACAUUUAUUUUAAUUGUCACAAAUUUGUGUAUUUUAAAAUGAGUUAUAUAGUAAUGCAUUCACAUUAUACAAUAAUUUUAUUUUAUCAUAUAAUAUUAAAUAAAUAAUAACUCUUAAUAAUUUCUAAAAUAGAUAUUGAUAAUUUCAUUUUAUCAUAAAAUGGUUGUUUAUAGUGAUUUACUAUUCACAGACAACCGAGAAUAUGGGGUAAAAUGGGAGAAUGAAGGGAAGGUCAAGAAAAAUUAGUUAAUGUGAUUUUUUCAAUUUUACCAUUUUUUUAUAUAUUAAUUAUUACAUAAAUUUAAUUAACAUUAAUAUUUUAAUAAAAUAAUAAUAAUUAAUAAAAUUUGAUGGAGGUGUGCCUUCAUCCGUAGCUUUUCUUUGGUGGAAUUGGCGGAAACAUUCAUGGAAGAAGACGAGCAAGGAACUCAUGAAGAGUGGUGGACUCCUUGAAGGUGCAUGCUAGGUGUGGAGAGUGAGUGGUGAGGCCAUCUCACUUGGCAAAGAUGAAGAAUGAAGAUUAAAAUGUCUAUCCUAGAGAGGUAGGAGACAAGAAGCAAAAUUGGCACAAUUUUGGCAGCAAUUUGCUCGAGAAUAAUCUUGCUAUUUCAUGACCCAAACACCUCCUUAUAUAGGAUUGGAGGGUCAGAAUUGGAAGAGUCAAAUACAAAUGAAAUACAAACUAAAUAAAAUGUGAUGCAUUUGGCGCCUAAUUUGAGACUUAGCACAUGGAGCAUGUGAUGGAAAGCUUUUAAGCACAUGGAACAUGUGCUUUCUUCUCCAAGGCUUAGUCAUAACCGACCUUGGUUAAUUUAGGUGUUCAAAGAACCCUAAUUUAACCAAGGUUGGUUUUUAGGUACCAAAUUUCACCUAAAAAGAAAUUACAAGUAAAAUUUCCUAUUUUACUUUAACAAAAUUAAAUCCUACUUCUUACACUAGAGUUUAUGGCAUUUUAAACACGUACAAGAAGGUUUCUCUGCCAUCAGUAGCAGUAUUUCAAUCAUUUUGAUCCUUCUUGGCCAUGACUCUAGUGGUAGGCCCAAAUCUUCUCUUUGUUGGGCUUGCACUUGGACUUGUCCUUGGGCCUCUUCCAUCAUCCCCUCCCUCUUGAAAAGGAUUUGUCCUCAAAUCCAAUGCUUCUAUUUCUUCUUCUUCAUUACUUCCUACAAAAGGCAUUAAGUCCACAACAUUAAAAGUAUGAUGAACUCCAUAUUCUUUUGGUAAAUCAAGAAUAUAUGCAUUGUUGUUGAUUCUUUUGAGGACUUGGAAGGGUUCGUCACCUUGGGGACUAAGUUUGGACUUCCUCUUAGUUGGAAAUCUAUCUUUCCUAAGAUGAAACCAAAUUAAAUCUCCUUCUUCAAAAAUUAUCUCUCUCUUCCCCUUAUUGUUAUGUUUUGUAUAUUUCUCAGUUUGCUGAUGUAUUUGUUCUUUAACCCUCUCAUGCAUUUUCUUAACAAAUUCAGCUUUUAUUACUCAUUCCUUAUGCACAAAUUCUUGUGGAUUAGGAAGGGGCAACAAAUCUAAAGGAGUAAGAGGAUUAAAUCCAUAAACAACCUCAAAUGGAGAAAUAUUAGUAGUUUUAUUAACUACUCUAUUGUAUGCAAACUCAAUAUGAGAAAGAUACUCAUCCCAAGAUUUAUGGUUGCCUUUCAUGACUGCCCUAAGCAUAGUACCAAGAGAUCGAUUUACAACUUCGGUUUGUCCAUCCGUUUGAGGAUGACAAGAAGUUGAAAAUUCAAUUUGGUUUCAAGUCUUGCCCAAAGGGUUCUCCAAAAAUGGCUUAUAAAUUUUGGAUAUCUAUCGGAGACUAUGCUUCUAGGUAGUCCAUGAAGUCUUACCACAUCUCUAAAGAAAAGUCUAGAGAUAUUAUUUGCAUCAUCCACUUUGUGACAUGGUAUAAAAUGUGCCAUUUUACUAAAACGAUCCACAACCACAAAAAUGGAAUCAGAACCUCUUGCAGUCUUAGGAAGUCCAAGAAUAAAAUCCAUACUAAUGUCUUCCCAUGGAGCACUUGCAAAAGGUAAAGGAGUAUAGAGUCCAUGAGGAAUUGUUUUAGACUUAUCUUUUAAACAUGAUAUACAUCUAAAACAAUGUCUUUGGACGUCUCUUAUCAUAUGUGGCCAAAAGAAUUUUCCUUUUAAAAGCUCUAGAGUCUUAUCAACUCCAAAAUGGCCCAUGAGACCUCCUUCAUGAGAUUCUUUUACAAGAAGUUUUCUAUGUGUUCCUUGAGGUAUACAAAGUUUUCCUUCUUUAAAAAGAUACCCCUCAGACACAAAAUCCUCCUUUUUCUCUAUGUUCUCAUUUAACAAAGAUGGAUGUAAAAUCAUGAUCUUCUUUGUAGAGUUCAAUUAUGUUUUCAAAUCCAAGAAUUUGGGCUCCAAGUUUUGAAAACAGGGCAUGUCUCCUUGAGAGAGCAUCGACCAUAAUGUUUGUACUACCCUUCUUGUAUUUGAUAACAUAAGGAAAUUGUUCAAGAAGUUUCAUCCAUUUUGCAUGUCGUUUGUUCAACUUAUGUUGACCUUUCAAAUAUUUUAAAGGCUCAUGAUCACUAUGAAUGACAAAUUCUUUAGAGACUAGAUAGUGCUCCCAAGUCUUUAAGGUCCUCACAAGUGCAUAAAGCUCUUUAUCAUAGGUGGGGUAGUUGAGAGUGGCUCCAUGAAUUUUUUCGCUAAAGUAAGCAAUUGGAUGUCCACCUUGCAACAACACGACACCUAUGCCUACUCCCGAUGCAUCACACUCUAGCUCAAAAGUUUUUGCAAAAUUUGGUAAAGAUAGAAUGGGUGCAUUAGUGAGUUGAGCUUUUAGCCUCUUGAAGGCUUGAUCUUGCUUCUCGGUCGAACAAAAUGGAGUGUCUUUCUUCACUAACUCAUUGAGUGGCUGAUGUAACCCAAAAAUACAUAAAGAUGACCAAGGAUGUUAUACUUGAAGGGUCAUCUAAAUAAGGAAAUAAGAACUUCAUCAAUAGAAGAAAUGGACGAGGCCCAAAGCAUUUAAAGUUCUUCUUAUUGUCUUCUCAAAAGAUGAGGCCCAAGCCCAAUUAAUAUCUUUUGUAAUAUUUUUAGAAUAGUUUCAAGAUAGAACAUUAAAAGGGAAGUAAUAGGAAAAGUCACUUUUCUAGAAUGAGGAAGUGACUUGAAAAAGGGUGGCAUUUACCUUGUCUUUUCAUAUGCCUUGCCUUUUCAUUUACAAGUGACUCUUCAUGUAUUUUUACCUUUUCAUGACCGGUUCUCUAUGCCUAUAUAAAGAGGAGCCUUGCUUUUGUAAACACAAGUUGAAUCUUUUAGUAAAGAAAGUAUACCAAAUUGGUGUGAGAGAGUUUGUGAGACUAGUUCUCCUCUCUUCUUCCUAGUCUUAUCUUGGGAGAUUCUUGGAACUCUCAAGUGGCGGCAUCCACUCAUCUUGAAGCUUCUCCACCCUUCAAGUGGCGUGAACAUUCCAAGGGUCAUCAACCACAUAAGUUUCUUCUACCUUUUCAUGUUCUUCUUCCAUUUCCAUGUCAAUCAAAACUAUAAAACAUGUGUCUUUGUUGUUCUUGAUGUUUCAAGCAGUAGAAAUGUGUUAGGUUCUGCUUUUAAUUGGUUCAUUGUAAUUUCUCGCUGUUGUAUUCGGUUUAUAUGUGCUUAAUUGAUAUUUCAAUCGGUGCAUUUGUCUCCUUUUCACAAAUCAAUCGGUUCAUGUUCUUCUUAUGGGUUUCUAUGCGGUUUUGGCUUGGUUUUUGUGUUCUUGAAUGAUUAUAGAAUCUUGAUCCAAUUCUUGAAAAUGUCUUUUCAUAUACCAACUCAUAUCAGUGGUGAAGCUAGACUUGAGAAGUUAGGCACAAAUCUUCUAUAAAAGCUUGCUAAUCCAUGAAAACUUCUAACUUCCCCUACAUUUUGUGGAAUUGGCCAUUCUUGGAUGGCUUUGAUUUUUUCGGGGUCAACAUGUACCCCAUUUUUGUUAACUAUAAAUCCUAAAAAUACUACACUAUCAACACAAAAAGUACAUUUAUCUCUAUUAGCAAACAAACUAUUAUUCUUAAGCACUAGGAGAACUUCCCUAAAGCGACUUAGGUGAGAUUCUAAACUUUUGCUAUAUACUAAAAUAUCAUCAAACUAAACUACUACAUAUUUACCUACACAAUCCCUUAAGACAUGAUUCAUUAGCCUCAUGAGAGUGCUAGGAGCAUUAGUGAGCUCAAAAGGCAUCACUAACCAUUCAUAUAGUCCAAAUUUGGUUUUAAAAGCGAUUUCCCACUCAUCACCUUCUUUAAUUCUAAUUUGGUGAUAUCCACUUCUAAGAUCAAUUUUAGAAAAUAUGAUGGACCCAUGCAAUUCAUCAAGCAUGUCAUCUAGUCUUGGAAUUGGAUGCCUAUACUUGAUGGUGAUGUUAUUGAUGGCUCUACAAUCACAACACAUUCUCCACUUGCCAUCUUUUUUGGGCACCAACAAGACAGGUACAACACAAGGGCUUAGGAUCUUUUGAACCCAACCCUUAUCCAACAAAUCAUGCACUUGUGAUUCUGUCUCCUUAGUUUCUUCAGAAUUAGUUCUAUAGGCUGGUCUAUUUGGUAGACUAGCUCCUGGAACUAAAUUUAUUUGAUGUUCAAUUCCUCUAAAAGGGGGAAGUCCACUAGAGCCUUCCUUAGAGAAUAUGUCAUCAAAGUCUUUUAAAAGAUCUUUUACUUGAGGAGGUAGAACACAUGUCUCAGUAAGCGUAGCAAUGCAGGUAAGUGUUCCUUUACAAAGUAGGAGGUUUGAAGGUUCUUCAAAAAGAAGUAUUUUUUCGAUCUUAUUUUCAAAUUUUUCUUCUUCUUUCUGAAUGACCUUGUGGGAAGGAACACUCUUUUCCCAUGCCUCUUUUUCCCUAAGGGUUUUUUCUUGGUUUUUUACUCUAUUUUUCUCUUCCUCUCUUUGUUUUCUCAUUUGUAGUUGGUCCUUUAUCACUUGGGAAAAUGAUAAGGGAUAAAGUACAAACUUCUUUUCUUUGUGAGUGAAAGUAAUCUCAUUGGUAAGACCAUUGUGGUUUUCUUAUCAAAUUGCCAAGGUCUUCCCAACAAAAUAUGACAAGCUUUCAUGGGCACUACAUCACACAAAACUUUAUCCUUAUAGUUCCCCACAGAAAACUCGACUUUCACUUGUUGAUCUACAGUUAAAUCCCCAUCUUCAUUGAUCCAUUGAAGUUUGUAAGGUUUUGGAUGAGGGAUUAACUGUAGAUUCAACUUUUCAACCAUCCUAGCGCUACAACAAUUGCAGCAAGAACCACUAUCCACAAUGAGAGAGCACACAUUUUCAAAAACUUUACACCUUGUGUGAAAUAUGUUCUCCCUUUGUGUCUCUUGGCUCAUACUAGGUUGAUUGUUGAGGGUUCUACGGAUCAUCAUUAAUUCACCCUCACAUGGAUAAGCCCCUUCAUUAUCUUUUUUUUCUUCUUCCCCACUAGCUUCAUUACUUUAGCUGCUAUAUACUGUUGGGUCUAUUAGUGUCUAAGUUCAAGAGGGGAGGGGUGAAUUGAGAUUAUAAAAUUUUCGCAAGACCACACAAUUUUUCAGUAUUCCAGAGGCAAAAAGAACAGAUUGUUUUUACAUGAAACAGAUUGAUUCUUCAGAGCAGUCUUGGCACAAUUUGAAUUUGUUCAAUGUAAAAUUGUGAUCAACAGAGAAUUAUAACAAAAUCAGAUCAGUUUAAUAUUGUGAGGAUGAAGGAUACAGUUAUGCUUAGAAAUCAAGCAAAAUUACUCAACACAAGGUUUUGAGAGGAAUGAUCCUUUCUCAGGUUUUAAUGAAUGGACAGUUUGUUCACAAAUCACUUAAACCAUUAUAUACAGCAGCCUUGUUUAUGAUCAGAGAACUUUAACAAAUCAGGAAGAACAAUUUUCACUUAAACCCAGAAUUAACAGAUUCAAUUUCAAAAGAACAGAUUUAGUUCUUGACAGAAUUAAACAAAAAAAAAAACAGAAAUGAGUGCAGGGACGAGAAGACAAGGCACACAAGUUUUUAUACUGGUUCACUCAUACAGAGCUACAUCCAGUCUCACCUUACCCCAAGGUGGAAUUCACUAAAAAUAGUACCAAUCACUUACAAACACAGCAGUUCUUGAACACUACAAGAACAACACACACAAUGCUGAAAAACCCUAUUUCAGCACACCUUGCACUCCAAGAAACCCUAUCAAGGAGUGACUAACACUUACACCUUUACAAAACAGAAUAAAGGAAAGAUUACACCUGAAAAGAAGAUGCAAGAACCCAAAACCAGUAGUUCAAUUUGCUGCAGAACUGCACCAACACCUUCACCAAGAUCAAAGGUUUCCUAGAACAAGCACACUUGAAAAUCUCUUUGGAAAACCUUUCAAAAAUCUUUCAAUCCUUCUUCUCACAUGGAAAGUGUUUGAUCUCUGUCAAAAACGUAAUUGCUCAGCCCUACUUUCAUGUGAGAGAGACUUUUCUUUAUAUAGAAAACAGUUUCUAACUUCUUUUCAAAAAAAUAGUUGAAAAGCAGUUAUGAAAACAACAGAUUCAUUUUUGAACUUAACAGAUUUAUUUUGUGAAAACCGCCAACUCAACUAACUGAAAUAACUGUCUGAGUUGUAUCUUUGGUGCCCUAACUAACUUGUGAAAAACCUUUCAACUCACCAAAGAAUAAACCUGUUCUUUCUCAGUGAAACAGAUUAAAAUAUAGCAAACAGGCCAGCUCAACUUUAACUGAAAUAACUGUCUAAGCUUUACCUGUGGUGCCCUAACAGAAUUUUAGAAAAGCCUUUUAACAGAGAAGAAAUAAACAGAUUCUUUCUCCAUAAAACAGAUUUAUUUGUGUACUGUUUUAAAGCUGUUAAAAACAUUUUAAAAAGCUUUUCAAAAACCAUUUAACCACAUCAUGUGCUUGAUCUAGACUUGGUUAGGCAUCUAGGAUGGGUUAUUCAGCAAAAGGCAACCUUACACAAUUACAAGCCUAAUUAUAACCGAAUCUAAAACCUAUUACAAUCUUCAAAGCACUCAAGUUAUUUUCUUCAUCAAACACACAUCAAGCCUUGGUAGGGAAGAAGCUUCCUCCAACUUCAACAUAUACAUCCUUACCCCUUUAAGAAUAUAGUUCUCCUAUUUUGGCAUUGGGAAGCUAUAUGACCUCUUCCAAAGCAUUUAAAACAUUUUUUUAUCUCGGCUACGGGAUUGUGGGGUUAUCACUUCUUUAUCUAUAUUUUUGGGAGUUUCCUUAGAUCUUUCCUUUGAAGUUUCCUCCCUUUUAUACUCUCUCUUGGGAUAGGAGUUAGAAUAUGAACCUUCCCUACGACUUGAAGCUUUUCUUAAGUUUUGUUGUUCAACUUUGAUACAGAGUUGAAUUAAAUCAUUCAAGUGUCUAUAUGGUAAAAGUUAAACUCUAUCUCUAAUCUCAAGAUUGAGUCCACUCAAAAACCUUGCUAUGGUAGUGGUUUUAGACUCCCUAAUUGAGGCUCUCAUCAUGUAUAAUUCCAUUGUUUUGCCUAUAUUCCUCUACACUCAUAGUCUUUUGUUGGAGUCUUUGGAGUUUGUCCAUUAACUCCCUAUUAUAAUAGGAGGGAAUAUGGCGGCGUCUUAAGGCUCGUUUUAGUUAGUGAUCUCGGCUCAGCUAGUCCUUUCUUUCGUGAUGAACUGUUGGCUCCCCUAAGAUCAUUCUAAUACUCUAUGGGAGGGUUCUUAUGAAGGUGCCUAUCUUGCUCAAGGGCAGUCCACCAAUACAUAGCAUUACCUUGAAAGCUUAGGGUGGCUAGGGGUACUUUUCGUUCCUCACUCACUCUAUGGGAAACAAACAAUUAUUCUACCUUCAUUUCCCAAUUUAAGUAAGUUUCUACGUUUUCCAUGGAAAUAAGGUAGAUCUACCCUAACCUCCUUUUCUUGUCUUUCUCUUCUAGCUCUCCUAGGGGGUGGUUGAUAAUAGUAAUUAAUCUAAUAUUUUGUUCCCCAAAAGAUUCAUCUCCCCUAGAGCUAGAUGCAUGAGAACUUUUUUUUGAUUUAUUGUUUUCAUCCCUUUCUUUAGCCAAUUUCAAUUCUUUGAGUUGGGACUCAUUUUGCAAUUGUUUAUAUGAAAGUGAUUGAAAGUCUUGUGCUAAUUGUUUCAAAAGAGUUUUAAUAGACUCUCUAUCACUUUCACUAGAAUGAUAAGAAUGAGAAGUCAUGGUUAAAGUUAUGUGUUAAAAGCAAUUUACUAAAAGAAAUAUAGGUGGAGUAAUGUAGGUAGAUUCCCAAGAAAGGGAGGUGGAUCACUUAAGUACCAAGCCUUUCCUUGCCAGAUUCUAUCCUUCAAGACUUUCACAAACCUUUUUCUAAGUAAUUCACUUAGAACACAAUCAAGAAUGAAAACAAUUUUAAGAAAAACAAUGCAAAGCAAUUAAACAAAGCAAAACAAUUAAACAAAACAAAGUAAUUAGAUAAUACAAUUUGAAAAGAAUUGCUAUCUAGUAAGAUUUAAACUAGGCGUAUCCUAAGGUGAGGCUUCUAGGCACUUAGAACCAUUGAAGACACAUUCACCGUCUAUUACGCAAUACAAAGCAAUUAAACACUUAAUAGAAAAAUUUCUAUCUAGAAAGCUUGUAAACUAGACGUUUCCUAGGGCGAGGCUUCUUGGCACUUUGAACCUUUGAAGACACUCUCACCAUAUAAUACGCAAUUAGUCCACCAAUUAUUCAAGAUUUUGCAAGUUACAACUCAAAGAAAAUACAAAGCAAAUUGAAUUGACAAAAAUUUAGAAAUUUUUAUUCUAUGCAAUUCUUCUUUUCUUUUUGUCAUUCCUUCUUUGUGUAAGUGUUUAAACUCACUUGUUGCUGCUCUCUUGCUCAACCUCUCAAGGAUAUUUAACUUUAAAAAUUCAAAACAGCACCUACUAAGUGAUAAAGCUCUCACAAAAAAUGUUAGCUCCAAACUUAACAAGCACCUUUGAAUGAUUUAUCCACCAAGAAAUGAGGUUAACAAAAGUUAAAGCAACAAAAAUUCAAUUUGAAAUUGGAAAACAACAAAGGGAGUUGAUGUAUGACAACUUGAAAGAGUAAUUGAAAAAAUAUUGACAAGCAAACAAAAUAAGGUACUCAACAAAUGGAUAUCACACAAAUUGAACCUAGAGAAUGACACUAGAAUUGGAUUAACAAAAAUCAAAACAAUACUACAUAAUAUUAAGGUGUCAAAAAGCGUGACUUACUUGAUUUAUGUUGAGCAAAUUAUUUCAAAUUUGAAUUUGAAUUUUUAACCACAAAUAGAUCAAGAUAUUAACUAACUUUUGGCGUUGGAAUCACCAAUUAAUUGUGAUAAAAUUUUCAAAUAUGAUGAUGCUUCACCAUUUUUUUUUCGCGCCAAAAUUGCACACUGAUUGUAUUUGAUUUAUCAUUUUUUUUUCUAUUUUGAAUUUCGCUUCACUUUUUUUUUCACUUUUUUUCUAACACUUCAAACUAUUGAGAUCCAUAAUUUCAUAAUUUUUCUCCAACGAAUUUUAAUUUCAUAAACAAAAACAGCCAGCACAGAAUAAAAAACAGAGGAAGCCUAAUUCUGGAAUUAAAAACAGUUUUAAGAAACUUCAAAAACACAAUAGAAUUAAUGUAUAAUAAGUCGUGUGGAUCUAGCACACAAAUAUGAACUCAAAUCUUAAAAUGCACCAAAGGAUCAAACAAAAAAUUAUAAAUAUGGACUCAAAAAGAAAAUCAAUGAACCAAAAUUAUGAAGAAAAGUACUACAUAAAAGUGUUGACAAUUUAGGAGAAACAUGACUUGACAAAACAUCUAUGGAUUCAAAAAUCAAAAUGACUCAAACACAACAAUAUGAACCGAUUAAAAUUGCAAGAAAGACUCAAAUCUAGCAAAAUUAAAACAGCAACACCAAAACUCAAAGGAAUCCUACACAAAAUUGAAAUUAGAAGCUCAAGAACAAUUUGAACACAUUGCACUGAUUGGAUUUAUCCAAACAGCAUCUAAAACAGUUAAAAUGCAAAAACAACAAGACAAUCAAGGAUACAAGAUGAACAACACGAAAUUAUAAAGAACAACACAAAAUUAAAAUGAGAAGAAGAAGACACAUUUAGCUCUUGAAGAACCUAGGCUCAUGAUACCACUUGAUGGAGGUGUGCCUUCAUCCGUAGCUUUUCUUUACUGGAAUUGGCGGAAGCAUUCAUGGAAGAAGACGAGCAAGGAACUCAUGAAGAAUGGUGGACUCCUUGAAGGUGCAUGCUAAGUGUGGAGAGUGAGUGGUGAGGCUAUCUCACUUGGCAAAGAUGAAGAAUGAAGAUUAAAAUGUCUAUCCUAGAGAGGUAGGAGACAAGGAGCAAAAUUGGCACAAUUUUGGCAGCAAUUUGCUCGAGAAUAAUCUUGCUAUUUCAUGACCCAAGCACCUCCUUAUAUAGGAUUGGAGGGUCGGAAUUGGAAGAGUCAAAUACAAAUGAAAUACAAGCUAAAUCAAAUGUGAAGCAUUUGGCGCCUAAUUUGAGACUUAACACAUGGAGCAUGUGAUGGAAAGCUUUUAAGCACAUGGAACAUGUGCUUUCUUCUCCAAGGCUUAGUCAUAACCGGCCUUGGUUAAUUUAGGUGUUCAAAAAACCCUAAUUUAACCAAGGUUGGUUUUUAGGUACCAAAAUUCACCUAAAAAGAAAUUACAAGUAAAAUUUCCUAUUCUACUUUAACAAAAUUAAAUCCUACUUCUACACUAGAGUUUAUGGCAUUUUAAACAUGUAGAAGAAGGUUUCUCUGCCAUCAGUAUCAGUAUUCCAAUCUUGUUGAUCCUUCUUGGUCAUGGCUCUAGUGGUAAGUCGAGGUCUUCUCUUUGUUGGACUUGCACUUGGACUUGUCCUUAGGCCUCUUCCAUCAAAAUUAAUAAUAAAAUAAAAUUUUAAUACAAAAUAUUUAGUUAUUUAUAAUAAACAAAUUAAUGGUUAUAAAUAUAAUAAUAUUAUUUACAUUUAAUAUAAAAUUAUUUUCUAAUUAUAAUUUUUAUAUAAGAAUAUUUAAAUUAUUUAUUUCUACAUAAUAGUUUAUAACUUUUACAUAUAUUCAUAAUUUUUCGUGUAAAUUAUUUUUUGUCAAGUAACUCGUAUUUUUUUUCGAAAAUAAUUAUUCAAUGUUAUUGGAAAUAACUUACAUAAUUUUAAUUAACCUAAAUCUACAUAAAAAUACAUAAUAUUUGGUUAUUCUAUUUUUUUGAAACAAUGGUAAAUUUAUAAUCUUAUAAUUUACAUCUUUCAGAAAAUCAAAAUACCCUCACAACAAUGACAUCACUCACAAACUUCAAUAGAUUUUUUUCACAAAUUCACUCUAGCAUACUCCAAUCUAAACACAACGACUUUCUUCAUACUUUUCUCUCAAAUCUUUACACAUUCACUCUCUCAAAUCCUCACACUUCCCCUCCUCAAUUUAAACACAACUUAAAAAUUAUUGUUUUAAUUAGUUAACCAAUUGGACUAGAACUCGUGAGUAACAAACAUGGGUCUCAAUAGGCUGCAAUCACCAGGUAUUUUGUAACAGGAAAAAAGAGUGAUUUUGACUAAGAUAGAAAUUAAAGGAAAUAUUUUAUUUAUUAAUUUAUAAUAUAUAUAUAUAUAUAUAUAUAUAUAUAUAUAUAUAUAUAUAUAUAUAUAUAUAUUUAUUAUAUAUAUAUAUAUAUAUAUAUAUAUAUANNNNNNNNNNNNNNNNNNNNNNNNNNNNNNNNNNNNNNNNNNNNNNNNNNNNNNNNNNNNNNNNNNNNNNNNNNNNNNNNNNNNNNNNNNNNNNNNNNNNNNNNNNNNNNNNNNNNNNNNNNNNNNNNNNNNNNNNNNNNNNNNNNNNNNNNNNNNNNNNNNNNNNNNNNNNNNNNNNNNNNNNNNNNNNNNNNNNNNNNNNNNNNNNNNNNNNNNNNNNNNNNNNNNNNNNNNNNNNNNNNNNNNNNNNNNNNNNNNNNNNNNNNNNNNNNNNNNNNNNNNNNNNNNNNNNNNNNNNNNNNNNNNNNNNNNNNNNNNNNNNNNNNNNNNNNNNNNNNNNNNNNNNNNNNNNNNNNNNNNNNNNNNNNNNNNNNNNNNNNNNNNNNNNNNNNNNNNNNNNNNNNNNNNNNNNNNNNNNNNNNNNNNNNNNNNNNNNNNNNNNNNNNNNNNNNNNNNNNNNNNNNNNNNNNNNNNNNNNNNNNNNNNNNNNNNNNNNNAAUUUUAUUAAUAUUAUUUAAAUUAAUAACAUUAUUAAUUAUUGCAAUAAUGUUAUUAAUAUUAUUAACAUUAUUAAAUAUUAUUAAUAUUAUUAAUUAUUAAUAACAUUAUUAAUUAUUACAAUAAUUUUAUUAAUAUUACUAACAUUAUUAAAUAUUAUUAAUAUUAUUAAUUAUUAAUAACAUUAUUAAUUAUUACAAUAAUCUUAUUAAUAUUACUAACAAUAUUACAAUAAUUUUAUUUUUAAGUAAUUCAUAUGAAAUGACAAAAUAUUCUAUUGUAUUAAUAAAAUGAAAUAUAUUAUAUAAGGGUAGAAUCGAAAAGGUUUGUAAACAUCAAAAAAAGGUUAUAAUAAUGGACAAUUCACUUUAUAUAUAGGUAUAAAUUAUUAUUAUUAUUAUUAUUAUUAUUAAUAUUAUUAAAUAUUAUUAAUAUUGUUAAUAUUGUUAAUAUUAUUAAUAUUAUUAAUUGUAUUAAAUAUUAUUAAUAUUAUUAAAUAUUAUUAAUAUCAUAAAAUAUUAUUAAUAUCAUAAAAUAUUAUUAAUAUCAUUAAAUAUUAUUAAUAUCAUUAAAUAUUAUUAAUAUCGUUAAAUAUUAAUAAUAUGAUGAAAUAUUAAAAAUAAUAUUAAAUAUUACUAAUAUUUUUAAAUAUUACUAAUAUUUUUAAAUAUUACUAAUAUUUUUAAAUAUUACUAAUAUUUUUAAAUAUUACUAAUAUUUUUAAAUAUUACUAAUAUUUUUAAAUAUUACUAAUAUUUUUAAAUAUUACUAAUAUUUUUAAAUAUUACUAAUAUUUUUAAAUAUUACUAAUAUUUUUAAAUAUUACUAAUAUUUUUAAAUAUUACUAAUAUUAUUAAAUAUUACUAAUAUUAUUAAAUAUUAUUAAGUAUUACUAAUAUUAUUAAAUAUUAUUAGUAUUAUUAAUAUUAUAAAUACAUUAAUGAUAUUAAUAUUAUUUAUAUUAUUAAUAUUAUAAAUAUAUUAGUGCUAUUAAUAUUUUUUUAUUAAUAUUAUUAUUACUAAUAUUAUUAAUUUUAUUCAUGUUAUUAAUAUCAUUAAUAAGAUUAAUAUUACUAAUACUAUUAAUAUUAUUAGUAACUAGCGGGAACACAGGCACUCACGUGCCUGUAUAUCCGCAUUUUUCAUUUUUACUAUUUAUAUAUUCAUAUAAUUUUAAUAAAUAUUAAAUUAUAUGAGAAGAUGUGUAAAUUAUCUAAAUGCAUCAUUGAUAAUAGUUUUAUUAAGAUUUGAUGUUAAUUUUUUAUAUUUUCAUUUUAUUGUUUUUGAAUAUUAAAUUUUGAUUUAACUUGGGUGUAAUCUUGAACUUUGUAAGGUUAUCAAGAUUAAAAUUAAGGUUUAAAAAAAUGGACCAGCAAACAAUGUCAAAACAUAAUGCAAAUGGUUGUAUGUUGGAAGUUGUAGAAUCUAUCACCAUAUCAAUUGAAUUCACAUCUUCCAUGGCAAAGAAGUGGAAAAAAAAUAAAAUAAUAAACUAAAUACAAAUUACCAAACUUCCAACUUAUGUAAUAUCUAAUAGAUCAAAGCACCAGUAGACAUAAAAACUUUGCCCGCAAAGCUGGGCUUAGGAUUCAUACAAAAAUAUAAAAUAAUUAAGAAAGCAAUAGAAACAAAAAUGUUCAAAUCCUAUAACAAUGAGACACGUCUCUGCUUCGAACGCUUUGGGAAGUGCGAGAAGGAGGAAGCAAUGGUGGUUGUUGUUGUACAGUGGUGAUUGAAGAGGGACUAAGAUGGGUGAGAGUAGGAGAAGAACAUGGAGCGUGAAGGAAGAAGGUUCAAAAUGUGUCAAAAUUUAUGAGCAUUUUUUUUUUGGAUGUAACGGGUGAAAACUACUCCUUAUAAGGAAGUGGAAGAAAGUGGGAUAACCGCUCAACUACUCCUUAUAAGGGAGUGAAUGUAACGGGUGAAAACUACUCCUUCACAAGAAAGUGGAUGUAAAUGGUGACGGUGAAAACUACUGAAGAAAGUGGUAACCGCUCAGUAAUAAUCAAAUUGUUGUCACUGCUCACAUUUCCUAAUAUUUAUUUCUCUCUCAUAAAACAAACACUCCCUCUCAUUAUGCAAUUAAUUUUCAAAAUAAAUUAUCUCUUUCAAUUCAAACGGUUGCUCCAUUUAUUUCAAAUAUUUUAUUAAAUUUAUUUCUCUCUCAUACAACAAACACUCUCUCAUUAUGCAAUUAAUUUUCAAAAUAAAUUAUCUCUUUCAAUUCAUAACCACUCCUCCACCUCUCUCUCAAUUCAUAACCGUUCCUCCACCUCUCUUUCAAUUCAUAACUGUUCCUCCACAUCUCUUUCAAUUCAAAACCGCUUUUCCACCUCUCUUUCAAUUCAAAACCGUCCCACUACGUAUACCAAAUAUUGUAGAAAAAAUAAGAAAGGGACCAUAAUACAAUAAUAAAAUUAAAUAUUAAUAUAAGGAUAAAAUGGGAAAAAAAUUAAGAGCAGUUAAGAGGGGAAUAAGAAAUGACACAAUGACCAUAAUACAAUAAUAAAAUUAAAUAUUAAUAUAAGGAUAAAACAGGAAAAAAAAUUAAGAGCAAUUAAGAGGGGAAUCCCCUUUAUAUAUAGGUAUAGAUAAUAUUAUUCAUAUUAUUUAUAUUAUUAAUAUAAUACUAAUAAUAUUAUAUAUAUUAUUUUAUUUAUUAUUAUUAAUUUUAUAAUAUUAAUGGUUCUCGUCGGUUGAUUUUUUCACCAGUUGACUUUUUGUCGGUUGACUCUGGUGAUAAGCUUUAGCUCCGGUCUGUCUUCUCUGUGCUAGACUUUAAACUAGAGGGGGGAUGAAUGUUUUAAAGAGGGUUUUCGCAAACUUUUAAGUAUAGAAUGAAAUUACUUUGAGAAAACUUGAUUAAGAAUUCAGUUUGUCAAAAACACAAAGCAAUUUAGCACAACACUAGAAAAACAUUCGGUUGUUUCGCAGAAACAAUCGGUUGUUUAUACUAGUUCACAAAUAUAAACUGAAAUUAAAGAUUUCAAGGGUUCGAGAGAUUGCACACACAGGUUUAUACUGGUUCACUCUUAAACCAAGAGCUACAUCCAGUCUUCCCAGAAACCACUGGGGAAUCCACUAAGCAAUCAACCCUAGAUUACUUACAACACCACCAAAGAAGUGACCUUGAUCCCCUCAAGACACACACUUCCUUUGGCUCAGCACAAACACCACCAAGAAUGCUGAUCUUGACAACCUCAAGAGCACACAACACUUCUUAGCUUCACACACAGAGUUUACAGAAGGUACAAAAGGAUUACACUUGUUACAGAAAAGAUCUGAAAUCAAUACAAGAUGAAAAUCCUAUAUCACACUCUCUUGAUCAAAGCAAUCUUCAACUCUUCAAAAGAAAAACCAGUGAAAAACUUCAAAACCUUAUUGUACUGGACCAGAGCACUGGGCUCGGUGCUUAGGUGAUCGGACAUCGGCACCUGUGUGGAGCAGGUUAGCUUGGUGAUCUGGUCGAGUUAAUGGGCCAGUGGAACCCAAGAAUGCGUGUGUUAAAACCCGUAUAUAUGUAAGGCCUAAUCAGCGAGAAAGUGCAUGUGGUGUGUAUUUGGGUCUAGCACAAGUAAAUAUCCCCUAAAGACGCCUAGGCCCAAGAGCGCUAGGGUUUUCAGGGGUAAGCUGCAUGCAUGAUACGUAAAGGUUAGAGCGCCUACAGUGACAGAUGGGCCCCAUGAUGCUGGUAUAUGAGUUGGUACCCUGACAGCCAUGUUGUUAAGAUUAUGCACUCCAAAGAGGAAGAUUUUGCGCGAUUGUUACACUAAGAUUGUGUGACAUUAUAACAGAAUGCCCUCCCAUCAUACCUGCUUUCACUUGAGAUAAAGUCUCGUGAGAGAAGGGUUGUUACAAUGAAGUAACCUAAAAGUAGUCUAUAAAAGGGACUCGAGAUCCCUAGUAAAGGUACACCGUUUCUAAUGAAACUACUUGCUUACUUACUCAUUGUUUCUUAGCCCAGUACUGAAUUGAUUGUCGGAGUGCAAUCAACAGGUAGGGCCCCCUCUGUUUCAAAUGGAGCCGCAUUCCAACGUCCCCGGGAAAGAGCAAAUCCAGCAGAGGCAAACAGAGUCACAACCUACUCUCAGAGUCAACCGACUACUAGGUCAACCCACAAGAACAUUUGGCACCCACCGUGGGGCCUGAUAAAACUAGGUCCCAUCCACAGUUGUGAUCAGAGCUAUCAGGCGAUAUGAGGAAUACAAGACAAGGCACCGCUGGACAGGAAGAAGGCGACAACGUUACCAUGCAAUAACUCAUGGAAACUAUCCACACUCUUCAGUAGACAGUGGAGGCAUCCAAGGCUGAUUAGGAAAGGGUUUUGGUUGAGGUUCGAGCUAAGCAGGCACUUAGGAAAGACCAAUUCAGGGUCGAGUUGGAUGCGUCGCGGACAGACAACGAAGAUUUACGCAUGGCCAAUAGGAUUUGCGGAGAGAUUUGCAAUGCUUAGGGGAACACACGGUAGGGGAGCAAAACCCGCCUAUCCCAGUCAGGGCUUGCCCCAUGCCAUUCUCCCAAGCGAUCAUGAAUGUCGUGAUACCUACCAAUUUCAUGACCCCAAAAAUCACUUUCACAGGUACUGAAGACCUGGAGGCCCACAUCACAACUUUCCACACUCAGAUGAUGAUCUCGGGAGGAACAGACGCCAUGCAUUGCAAGUUAUUUAUGGGAACGUUCGUAGGCAGAACAUUGGAUUGGUUCAUCAGUCUCCCCGAUGGACACAUCACCUCGUUUGAUCAAUUCUCUACAUUUUUCAGGGAGCAGUUCAUUGUCAACAGUGCUCCACCCCCUGUCUCUUUCGACCUCUUUGAUGUGAAGCAAUACCAGGGAGAGCCCCUUAAGGACUUCCUGAAUCGGUUUGGGGCGCUGGUUGUAAAACUACCAAGGAUGAAGCUAUGAUGGUGCAUGCCUUCAGGCGGGGAAUUUUGUCAGGGCCCUUCAGCGACUCUUUAAUAACGUGUCAACCAAAGACGUUUAGCGAGAUUCGGCACCGAGUUGUUGCUCACAUCUGCACAGAGGAAUAGGAAACAAAAAAACGUGGAAGCGUUGGACCGACAAGACCUCGGGAGAGCGGUCGUGCUCAACCCAUAAGUGAUGGAGAUCAAGAUCAAGACCAAAUGUAGGCCAAUACUCAAGGACAAGAAGAGGAAGAGGCUCAAGUGUUAGACGCUCAAAGAGUUGGUAGCCCACCUCAAAGGCUUACAAGAAGUCAAUUCAAGGCAUUAGGAAAUAAUGGAAUGUUGUUUUCUCUUUUUGUAAUAUCUUUGUGUUAGAAGGUGCUUAGAGGGAAACAUAAGACACCUCUUUUGUAAAAGCAUCUUUAGGUCUUUAGUUUAGGAAAAAAAUAGGAAGCUUGGGGGGUGUGAGCUUAGUAGAGGGGUGUAGGCGUAAUAGGGAGGUGCCAAACUAAGAAAAGAAGUCACACCUUCCUCAUGCUCUAAGUUGGCGCCACUUUUAUGUCAUUUGGGGGGUAAUUUGAGUUUAAUUAGCUUUUCAUUUCAGCACCUCUUAGGCUAUAAAUAAAGGUGUUUGCCUUUGUAAAAUUCAGAUUGGAAAUUGGAAUUAGAGAAACUCUACUCAAUUUGAGAGAGAAUUGUGAGAACUUGUCUUCUCCUUCACCUUGUCUUAUCUUGAGUGCAUUUGGUUCUCUCAAGUGGCGGCACUAGCUCACUUAUCUUGGAGCCUUCACCAUCCAAUUGGUGUGAUCAUCAAACCAAGUCCUUCAUCUCCAUAAGUUCUUCUUUCUUUCAUCUCCUAGCUCAUUUGAAUCUAAAACAUGUCUUAGUUUACUUUUCUAGCAUUUUCAUUCGGUAUUCUAGCUUGUUUCUGAAUUUGCUUCGGUUCAUCUUCUCCUUGGCUGUUCCUAUUUGAUUCUUCUUCAUUUCUUGCAUUUUGUUCGGUUCAAUUUCAGCAUUGUAGCUUUCUAUUCGGUCCUUUUUCUUUUAUACACAAUUUAAUCGGUUCAAUUGGCAAUAGAUGGAUCUUCCAUAUGAGUUUGGUGUUUGGUGCAAGUUUUGGUGAGUUCUUAAAACAUAGAACAUUGAUCCAAUUCUAUUAAAAGUGCCUAAGCUAUCUCCAACUCAAGUUGAUUCCAUAGAAUGUCAAAGAAUCAUCUCUAUUUGGCUAGUGGAAUCAUAUCAUGUGGUAUCUAGAAUUUAGGUUUGUUCUUGUUUAAUUUUGAGUUGUGUUGCACUUUAAUUCAAGAGCUCUAUAAUUCUUGUUGUUUACCUUUCUGUUUUUAGGCUUAUUUUGAGUUUUAUUGCUGUUUUCUUAAUUGUGCCUAUCAUGUGUUUGUGUAUUUUCCUUUUUGAAUCCAUACAAGUUUUGUCAUAGUCAUGUUUUUCCAAGAAUGUCAUCACUUCUUGUAGUACUUUUAUUGAAUUUUUUGUUUCUUGCUUUGGUGUAAUACAGUUUUCUGAGUUUGAUACUUGAUCCUUUGUGCAUUUUCUGUUUUAGUUUUGAGUUCAUACUUGUAUUUUAGAUCUAUACAAGUUCCUAUACAUCAUUUCCAUUAUGUCUUUGCUAGUUCUUAAUUCUGUUUUUCAUUCCUGUUAGGAUUCCUCUGUUUUUCUGAAAACGUGCUCACUGUUUCGAUUUAUUGCAAUUGAUUUACUCACUGGAAAUUUCUGAAAUUAUGGAUUUGUGUUCUUUAAAGUGUUAUAAAAGAGUAGAAAAAAGAAGUACUUAAAAAUUCCAAGUACAAAAAAAAUGAUAAAUCAAAAACAAAAAGUAACCGCCCAAACAUGCGCCCUACGAGCCGAAAAAGCAUUAGACUAGGGCAUGAGCGAAGGGAGACAUGCCUUGUCGACACAAGUUCAGAAUAAAACUCAAGGAGCUUAUCGCUAUCCCAGACGUGGCCGACAAGCUAAAGCCACCCCCAAAGAGUGACAAGAGAUUGGGGCCAAGCAGGGGCACCUGGUGCGAGUUCCACAAGGCCUUUGGGCAUGACUUGCAAAACUAUUUGGCACUUGGAUACUAAUUGGCUAAUUUGGUGAAGAAUGGAUUCCUGAAGGAAUACUUAGAGGAAGGUCAUGAAGCCUCAACGGUGGUGACCUUAGCAGGGAUCAGGGACACAAAGUACCAUUCCAUGGCGAGGUUAACACGAUCUUUGGGGGGUUUCUCAUGAGGAGGAUGCACCACCUCCCAGCGAAAGAAGUAUGUUAUAAGGGUGAUGGCAAUAGAAGCACGGGAACCUGACCAGUCACCUGAGCCCGACCUCUACUUCACGAAGGCUGAUUUACAGGAUGUGGUCCCACAUGAUAAUGACCCAGUGGUAAUUUCAGUGGUGAUAGUAGGGAGAAGGGUACACCGAGUCCUCAUCGACCAAGGGAGCUCGACAUAUGUAAUGUUUUGGUCGACCUUCAACAAAUUGGAGUUGUCGCCCGACCAACUGAGACCUUAUGACGGCUGUUUGUACGGUUUUGCUGGAGACCAGGUAAAAGUAAGUGGGCACGUGGAGCUAAGGACGACCUUCACAGACAACACCACGUCCCGCACCGUCAAUAUCAGGUACCUUGUCAUCAACUUACAACAUCCUUUUGGGAAGACCUACCCUGAAUAGGAUAUGAGCGGUGGCCUCAACGAGGCAUAUGAAGAUGAAGUUGCCUUCCCUCGAGGAAACGAUAAUUACCAUUAAGUCUGACCAAAAGGCGGGAAAUAAAUGCUAUGUGAAUAGCUUGAAGACGAACAUAGAGGUGUGCUCGAUCACCAGCCAGCCUUAGGAGGGAGAAGGGAUCACCCGUGUAGAGAUGGGUUGGGAGAGGCGACCUAAGCCUGUAGGUGAGGUGCUGGAAAGGGAGAUCGGGAGAAAGAAGUUUAAGCUUGGCAAAUCUUUAGGCCAGGAAAUACAGGACCAGAUCGCCGAGGUAAUAACACGACAUUUGGACGCCUUUGCGUGGUGUGCCUUGGACAUGCCCGACAUCGACCCUGAUUUCCUAUGCCAUCAUCUCACGAUGGAUCCAAAGGUCAAGCCUGUUUGCUAGAGGCAGAGGAAGUUCAAUGACGAAAGAUGCCUGGUCAUGAGGCAAGAGACCUAGAAGCUGCUGAGUGCGCCACAUAACGGAGAUCCAAUACCCUGAGUGGUUAGCAAACAUGGUGUUGGUCAAGAAGACCAACGAAAAGUGGAGGAUGUGCGUCGAUUUUACGGAUUUGAACAAGGCUUGUCCAAAGUAUUCAUAUCCGUUGCCCAACAUUGACACACUAGUGGAUAACGCGUCAGGUUGCAAACUUCUCAGUUUUCUGGAUGCCUUCUCAGGAUAUAACCAAAUUCGGAUGCAUCCCCAAGACGAAUGCAAGAAAACAUUCAUGACAGAGCUCUCCAGCUAUUGUUAUACGGUGAUGCCCUUUGGGCUAAAAAAUGUCGACGCGACCUAUUAGAGGCUGAUGGACAGGGUUUUCGCCCCUAUGAUAGGGCAAAACGUGCAGGCAUAUGUGGAUGAUAUGAUCAUCACCUCCCAGGAGAAGGACCAACACAUUGCCGACUUAGAGGAGCUAUUCACCACAAUAGCCAGGUAUAAAUUGAAGUUAAAACCCGAAAAGUGCGUAUUCGGGGUAGAGGCAGGGAAUUUCUUAUGAUUCCUCCUCACCGAGUGGGGAAUAAAGGCGAACCCCGAGAAAUGUGCGACGAUCAUAGCUAUGAGAAGCCUGACCUCGGUGAAGGAGGUACAACAAUUGACGGGGCGAAUGGCCGCUCUGUCCCGAUUUGUAUCUGCAGGAGGAGAUAGAGGGCAUCCCUAUCUCCUGUGUUUGAAGAGGGACAACCGAUUUGUGUGGACAAACGAGUGUGAAGAAUCGUUCCUCAAGCUGAAGAAGUACCUGUCCAGCCCGCCAGUUCUGUGCAAGCCGCUGCCAGGUACUCCCCUCCGUCUGUACUUUGCUAUUACAGAACGAGCGAUCAUAGUCCAGGAGCAGGAUUGCAUCCAAAGGCCUAUAUAUUUUGUUAGCAAAGUGCAGCAGGGGCCCGAAGUGCGCUAUCAGGCCAUUGAGAAGGCGGCUCUAGCAGUAGUAUUUGCAGCACGAAGGCUUCGCUACUAUUUCUAGAGCUUCACGGUGAUCGUGAUGAUCGACCUUCCCAUCCGUAAGGUCUUGCAGAAACCUGACGUGGCGGGACGGAUGGUGUGCUGGGCGGUCGAGCUGUCAGAGUUUGAUUUGCAGUAUGAGACGAGAGGACCUAUCAAGGGUCAAGUUUAUGUUGACUUCUUGGUAGAACUCUCCUUGGCAACCACACACCAAGACAAUGGAGAUUUCCAAUGGGUCCUUUCUGUGGACGGGUCCUCUGAGCAGUGAGGCUGGUAUCAUCCAUGAGGGACAAAACGGGCUACUAAUCAAGCAGGCCCUACGAUUUGCUUUCAACUCUAGCAACAACCAAGCUGAAUAUGAGGCCUUGGUGGCAGGAAUGUUGCUAGCCAAAGAGAUGGCUGCCCGAAGUUUGUUAGUGAAGAGUGACUCACUACUGGUAGUCGGGAAAGUUACGGGCGAGUACUAGGCCAAGGACCCUAGAUGGCCGCGUAUCUAAAGUGUGUCAUGCUCCUGAAAGAGGCGUUCACUGCUUUUGAGUUGGGCACAUUCCCAGGGAACAAAAUGCCCGAGCUGACUUACUGGCAAAGCUCGCCAGCUUAGGCAGGGGGGUCGACAAAGGAAAAUUACCCAGGAAACCUUAAAAGUCCCCAGGACCACCACAGGCGGCGUGGAAGAGGUCCAGCAGGUAAGUGCCUUCGAGGGCGGAAGGAGAGGUCACCGGUCGUUGACCCAGGAAACAUUGAGGGUACCUAAGAUAAGUGCAUAUGACUUGUCAGUGGGAGAAUCGUCGCAUGUUUGCCUGGUCGACGAAGGUGAAACCUGGAUGACACCCUAUAGGCGUUACCUGGCGAAUGGUCUACUCCCACAGGAGCCAACGGAGGCCAAAAUCGUUAAGAAGAAUGCAUACAGAUAUACCUUGGCUGAUGGAAAGUUGUUCAAGCAUGACUUCUCUCACCGUAUCCUGUCCUGUGUGAGUGGUGAGCAGUGCACACGUAUCAUGACUGAGCUCCAUGAAGGUAUCUGUGGGAGUCACAUCGGUGGACGAGCUCUCUCAUCAAAGGCUAUUCGAGCAGGAUAUUACUGACCGACCAUAAGGGAGGAUUGCACGAGGUACACACAAUGGUGCAAACAGUGCCAACAACACGCCAACUAGCAUCAUGCGCCCCCGGAGGCGUUGCGAUCGAUCCAUAGCCCAUGACCUUUCCACACAUGGGGGAUUGACAUCUUGGGUCCAUUUCCCUUAGAAGUUCGCCAAAUGAAGUACCUGGUGGUAGCCAUCGAGUACUUCACCAAGUGGAUAGAAGCUGAGCCUAUGGCACAAAUCACAACUCACAAGGUUCAACACUUUGUAUGGAAGAACAUAGUUUUCCGUUUUGGAAUCCCAAAGCAUGUAGUGUUUGACAACCACACCCAUUUUGCAAGUCAGCAGCUAGGCAAACUAUGCACAGAGCUCGACAUCAAACAGGUGUUCGCCUCGGUAUAACACGCCUAGACGAAUGGACAGGUCGAAUAUGCUAAGUGAGUCAUGCUCAGAGGCCUAAAGAGGAGACUGGAGAAAGCCAAGGGAACUUGGGCAGAUCUGGUUCCUAGAAUUGUAUGGGCCUAGCACACCAUUCCUCAAUCCACCACCAAAGAGACGCCUUUUAGCCUAGUGUAUGGGUCAAAUGCUCUGAUCCCCGUCAAGAUCCAUGACAGUUCACCUCGAUUCCAGAACUUCGUGAUUGAGGAGAAUAACGAGGAAAUGAGGGUAAACUUAGAUCUGCUCGACAAGGUCAGAGAGGAAGCACGCAUCAAGACCGAAGCCUUGAAGAGAAGGGUGGAGUAUAAGCAGAAGUCCAAGCUAAAACCUCGGCAGUUCCGGGUCGCCGACUUGGUAAUGCGAAAGGCUCACCCCUAUCAGUUGGAGAACAAGUUGUCUCCUAAGUGGAUUGGCCCAUUCCGUGUGAUAGAGGUGCUCGGUAACGGAGCGUAUAGACUCGAGAACUUGGAAGGCGAGAUCAUUCCUCGAACAUGGAAUGAGGCUAAUCUUAAAUUUUAUUUCAGUUAAUUAUGCUAUUGUAUGCAGUACGAACGUUUAAGGCGACACUCUUUUCCCCUUAUCAGGGUUUUUUAAAUAGGUCUCCCAAUAAAAGUUAUUUGAAAACUAUGCUUGCAGUAUAUCGUGCUAACAGUGAAAUAUCCCCUUGGUAAGAUUCCAAGAGUGGGAACAGUAGAGUUCAUAGCGAACCUCCCCCUAGUAAGAUUCCAAGAGUGGGAACAAUAGGGUUCGUAAGCGAACCUCCCUUUGGUAAGAUUCCAAGAAUGGGAACAAUAGGUUUCAUAAGCGAACCUCCCCCUUGGUAAGAUUCCAAGAGUGGGAACAGUAGGGUUCAUAGCGAACCUUGUUCAAGAUGGGAAGCUUUGAUGUGCAAAAUCCUCAUGAAGGCUGAAGCUGUGUGAUGUUUAAGGUUUAGGUUUUGGUUUGGGGUUUAGAAUCUUUGUAAAGAUCAGUUUUGAAUCUCAGACAAAGCUCAUUUCAACCAGUUUUAAAGAUUAAAGUGUUUUUCCAUGCAAAGGGAAAAACAACCGAUUAAAGUUUCGAAAUAAUCGGUUGUGUUUAACUUAGCUGGCAAAUAAGGUUUUGAAACUGUUUUAUAACUGACAAGAGCAUUCAACCGGUUAAAUCGUGGUUUUAACCGAUUAAAUGUAUGUCCUUGCAACAGCUUUUUGAAAAUCUAUUUUAAUUGAUUUGGUUGUUUUGAUUUGCUUCAACGUUAGCAUUUCAAGUAUUAUAAAUAUGUUUUUGAUUCAAACGUUUAAAGAUUGAUGAAAUAAAAACUUUAGAUACUCUGAGUUGAGAUUGAUUUGAAAGAUUACAAAACUGCUUGUGAAAAGGUUUUUCAUCAAGUUUUAACAAGAUUGCUUUGUGCUUUGUUGUGGUUCAAAGAACUGAUCAUUAGGGUGCUAGUGUAUUGUGUUGUACCAGGUGUUUUCUAAUCCUGUUCAAGUUCUUGUAAUUGUUCAUAUAACAUUCUGUAUAACUGUGUGAAAUCCUGUAAAGUUAGUGUAAUUCUGGCUUGAGGUGUGUGUUGUGUGUAAGGAGGGUGAGUAGGCUUUGUGGGAUUCAAAGUCACCUCUUUGUGUGUGGUGUUUGUGUAAUCUGUGAUCGGUUGCAUAGUGAAAACUCAGUGAUUUGACUGAGGACUGGAUGUAGCUCUAUGAUAGAGUGAACCAGUAUAAUCUCUGUGUGUAAUUCUCUCUAUCCCUUCUCUCUAUAUUUGUUUGUAUUUUUCCGCUGUCAUAAACAACCGGUUAAAUCACUAUUUUAACCGAUUAAAAUUCUGCUUCUGUUUCUGUUUGGUAAUUUGAUUAGCUUUCUGAAUUGCUUUUCUGGGUUGAUUGAAAAAGUUUUAUUCUAAGCCAAGUAUUUGUAAAAAUAGUUUGAAAACAAUUCAUCCCCUCUUGUUUUAGCCAUCAAAUCUAACAAUUGGCAUCAAGAGCAAGGUUCUUGAAAGUUAUUCAAGUUUUUUGAUUUCUGGUUUUUGAAAAUCUUGAUGGCUGAUAAAUUUUUUUUGGGGAAGGUGCCUCUUUGAACAAACAACCUUUGUUCUAUGGUCAAAACUAUCCUAUUUGGUGCAUAAGAAUGAAAUUCUUUAUUCAAUCCUUAAAUAAGAAUAUUUGGAAUGUUAUUUCAAAUAAUACCUAUGUGCAUAUGCCUGAAAUUAAUGAAUCUUGUAAAUAACAUCUUGACUGUAUGGCACAACAUAUUAUUGUGUCUGCUCUAGACUCUGAUGUACUGCUCAAGAUUUUAGAAUGCACUACAGCUAAAGGAAUGUUGGACAAACUUGAGGAAUUGCACAAGAAUCCAAGGAGUGACUUGGUAGAUAAAGAAGAGUCAUCUGCUGGCUCAAUCUCUUCUAAAAAUAAAGUGGAAGUCUGCUUAAUGACCAAGGGAGAAUCAAAAUCAAGUCAAGUAAGUACAUCCUAUUCUAAUAAGUGUGAAAGUUAUUUUCAAUUUCUUGAUGCUUUCCAAGAAAUUCAUGAGGAAGCUAAGAGAUUAACUUUUUCAAAUAACCGAUUGAAAUGUGAAAACAACAAGUUGAAAAUGAAAAUCACAGUUUUGGAAAAAGACUUGAAUCAAUCAAAAACUGAUUUAGAAAAUUCUGAUUUGAUGCAUGAAAAAUCCUUUUGCAAAUGUGAUUCAAAUUUUUGCAAAACCUGUGAGUCUCUUCAAGAGAAAGUCUUAUAUCUUGUGAAAACAAUUGAUGUUAUUUCGAAAGGAAAAUCAAAUUUUGAAAAUGUGUUGGCAUCCCAAACAUGUGUUUUUGAAAAAUUUGGCUUGGGUUUUAACCCUCAAAGCAAACAAAGUGGGUGCACAAAACCUUUUUCAACCUUUACUAAAAAACAAUCGGUUAAAGCAUCGAAACAACCGGUUGUUUGUUGUUUCUAUUGCAUGAAAAAGGGACACUCUGUUAGGUUCUGCAGAAUCAGAAAGUUCUCUGUACCUAAGGGUAUUCUGAAAUGGGUUCCUAAAGAGCCUAAUGAUUCUUGGAAACAUAUUAACAUCUAUGGACCCAAAUUCACAAGGGGACCAGAUUUAGCAACUUGAUUUUGUUUCUUUUGUAGAGUUGUUUGGAGAGAAAACAACACCUAUGGUACCUAGAUAGUGGCUGUUCAAAACAUAUGACAGGUGAUGCAUCUAGGUUCAUCAGCAUUUCUCUCAAACCAGAUGGUGAUGUAAGCUACGGUGACAAUAACAAGGGAAGAAUUCUUGGCAAAGGUACAAUCAGUAAUGAAAGUAGUUUGCUUAUUCAUGAUGUGCUCUAUGUUGAAGGAUUGAAGCACAACUUGCUUAGCAUCAGUCAACUUUGUGAUAGAGGUUACCAAGUGACCUUUAGGACCAACUAAUGUGAAAUUCGCUUACCUAAUUCAAAGGAUGUUCUUCUCAUUGGUAAAAGAUCUAGCAACAUUUAUCUACUUGAUAUAUCUAGUCAUGCUUCAUUAGAUUGUCUUCUAUCAAAGCAUGAAGAAUCAUGGUUGUGGCAUAGAAGGUUUGCUCAUAUUCAUAUGAAUCAUCUAAAUAAGCUUGUGUCAAAUGAACUUGUUUAUGGCUUACCCAAACUCAAAUUUGAAAAAGAACAUGUGUGUGAAGCAUGUCAAAGGGGGAAACAAACUAGAAAAUCUUUUUCUUUGAAAAACUAUUUCAACUUCAAAACCCCUUGAACUUUUGCACACGGAUCUUUUCGGUCCUUCUAGGACUAUGAGUCUUGGAGGAAAUCUAUAUGGUCUUGUUGUUGUAGAUGACUAUUCCAGGUACACUUGGACACUCUUUCUACAUACAAAGAAGGAUGCAUAUUCAUAAUUUAAGAAGCUUGCAAGGAAACUUCAGAAGACAUGUUGCAGUAACAUAGGAGCAAUAAGAAGUGAUCAUGGAGGGGAGUUUCAAAAUGAAAAGUUCAUUAGCUUCUGCAACAAAUUGGGGAUUUCUUCAUAACUUCUCUGCACAAAGAACACCCCAACAGAAUGGUGUGGUGGAGAGGAAAAACAGGUUUCUAGAGGAGCUUGCAAGGACAAUUCUAAAUGAUUUUGGUCUACCAAAAUGCUUUUGGGCUGAUGCUGUGAGCACUGCAUGCUACUUGAUGAAUCAUGUGCUGAUUAGGCCUAUACUGAAGAAAACACCUUAUGAGUUGCUGAAUGGGAGAAAGCCAAAUGUGAGCCACCUAAAAGUCUUUGAUUGUAAGUGUUAUGUCCUUAACAAUGGCAAAGAAAUUUUAGGUAAGUUUGAUGCUAAAUCAGAUAAAGGUAUCUUUCUGGGUUACUCUCUUAAUAGCCAUGCUUAUAGAGUCUUCAAUAAAAAGCUUAUGACUGUUGAAGAAUCCAUUCAGGUUAUUUUUUAUGAGACUAACAAUUGUGACAAGCUCCAACUAAGAUCAAUACAGAGGAGGAUGAUCAAAACAUCUUUUUAAAGAAUCUUGACAGCAACACUGAAUUUCAACCGAUUGAAUCCUCGAUUCAACCGAUUGAAAAUCUGCAGCAGGAAGAUCUGCCAAAAGAUUGGAAGGUUCCUAAGGAUCUGUCCAUUGACGACAUCAUAAAUCAAAUCCACAGAGGAGUUUCAACCAGAAGGCAUGUGGCAAAGUUAUGCAAUCACUCUGCAUUUGUUUCAAAGAUUGAACCUCAAUCAGUACGUGAAGUUCUGAAGGAUGAAUUCUGGACAGCAGCUAUGCAAGAAGAGUUAAAUCAGUUUGUAAGGAAUGAAGUCUGGACUCUUGUUCCGAGAACCAAUUAAAUGAAUGUGAUAGGUACCAAGUGGGUUUUCAGAAACAAAUCUGAUGACUCGGGCAUCAUUACAAGAAACAAAGCGAGACUAGUGGCCAAAGGAUACAAUCAAGCUGAAGGCAUCGAUUAUGAUGAAACCUUCACACCUGUUGCAAGAUUGGAAGUAGUAAGAUUGUUAUUAGCUUUUGCUUGUAUGAGUGGUUUUAAAUUGUUUCAGAUGGAUGUGAAGAGUGCAUUUCUCAAUGGGAUCGUGAAUAAGGAGAUAUAUGUCUCACAACCACCUGGCUUUGAAGAUCACAAACAUCCAGAGUGUGUAUACAAGCUCAAGAAGGAAUUGUGUGGCCUCAAACAAGUUCCACGUCAAUGGUAUGAAGGGAUAAGUCUUUUUCUUUUAUCUCAUGAGUAUGAAAGAGGUAAAGUAGAUAAGACUUUGUUUAUUAAGAAGGCUGGAACUGAUAUUAUUUUGGUACAAAUAUACGUUGAUGAUAUUGUAUUUGGCUCGUCUAAUGUGAAACUUUGUGAGGACUUUGUCUAAGCUAUGCAGGGGGAGUUCGAGAUGUCAAUGAUGGGAGAACUCUCCUUCUUUCUCUUUCUACAAGUUAAGCAGUCCAAAGAAGGAAUCUUGAUAUGCCAAUCAAAGUAUUGCAAAGAAAUCCUUAAGAAGUUCGAGAUGGAAGCUUGCAAAGUAGCAGCAACUCCAAUGUCAACUAACUGCUACUUAGAAGUUGAUGAAGCUGGACGAGAGGUUAAUCAAACCAUGUAUAGGGGUUUAAUAGGUUCACUUCUUUAUCUAACUACAAGCAGACCAAACAUUAUGUUUGUUGUGUGUCUAUGUGCUAGAUUUCAGUCUUGCCCCAAGGAAUCACAUAUCAAGGCUGCAAAGAGGAUCCUGAAAUAUCUUAAAGGCACAAUAUUCAUGGGCUUAUGGUAUCCCUCUCUUUCUCCUAUACAUUUAGUAGGUUAUUCUGAUUCGGAUUUUCCAGGUUGCAAAUUAGUUAGGAAGAGUACAAGUGGAACAUGCUACUUGCUUGAUUCAAGCCUCAUUUCAUGGCAUAGUAAGAAACAAGCGUGUGUAGCCUUAUCCAUUGCUGAAGUUGAAUAUAUAGCAGCUGGUAACUGUUGUGUGCAGAUUCUAUGGAUCAAAUAACAACUUGAGGAUUUUGGAGUAAAGAUGAGUAAAGUUCCUCUUCUAUGUGACAAUACAAGUGCCAUUAACUUGACAAAGAAUCAUAUUCAACACUCGAGGACCAAACACAUUGAAAUAAGACACCAUUUCAUUCAUGAUCAUAUAGCCAAUGGAGACUGUGAGAUCAAGUUCGUUUCCACAGAAAGACAACUGGCUGAUAUCUUCACCAAGCCUUUAUCCAAGGAUAAGUUCUACUAUUUACGAAAUGAAUUGGGAAUUCUAGAUAUGCAUGCUUUAUCCUAGUUAUAUUCUAUUUUGUUUUGUCUAUUUGAUGAGACAAAUAGGGGGAGAAGAGUUUAGAAGGGUUGUUGGAAGCUGUAAUGUUCUGCUGUUUUAUUCUGGUUUGUUUACAACUUCAACCGGUUAUCUCUGUAUUAUAACCGAUUGUUCUUAUAUGCAUCUACUUAUUUUAAAAUCUGAUAUAUAGUGCAUAUCUGUUUGGACUAGUCUAUUCCGUGUUUGUUCAGUGUUUGCAGGUUUUAACAGAUUCUAAACAAAGAACAUUCCUAAAAGCAUCUCAGGGAUUUGUCUCCAUCAAAUAAAGGAGAUUGUUGAAGAUGGGAAGCUUUGAUGUGCCAAAUCCCCAUGAAGCCUGAAGCUGUGUGAUGUUUUAGGUUUAGGUUUUGGUUUGGGGCUUAGAAUCUUUGUAAAGAUCAGUUUUGAAUCUCAGACAAAGCUCAUUUCAACCAGUUUUAAAGAUUAAAGUGUUUUUCCAUGCAAAGGGAAAAACAACCGAUUAAAGUUUCGAAAUAUUCGGCUAUUUGUAACUUAGCUGGUAAAGAAGGUUUUGAAAUUGUUUUAUAACAGAUAAGAGCAUUCAACCGGUUAAAUCGUGGUUUUAACCGAUUAAAUAUAUGUCCUUGUAACAACUUUUUGAAAAUCUGUUUUAACUGAUUUGGUUGUUUAGAUUUGCUUCAACGUUAGCAUUUCAAGUAUUAUAAAUAUGUUUUUGAUUCAAACAUGUAAAGAUUGAUGAAACAUAAACUUUUGAUACUCUGAGUUGAGAUUGAUUUGAGAGAUUACAAAACUGCUUGUGAAAAGGUUUUUUUAUCAAGUUUUAGCAAGAUUGCUUUGUGCUUUGUUGUGGUUCAAAGAACUGAUCAAUAGGGUGUUGGUGUAUUGUGUUUUACCAGGUGUUUUCUAAUCUUGUUCAAGUUCUUGUAAUUGUUCACAUAACAUUCUGUAUAACUAUGUGAAAUCAUGUAAAGUAGGUGUAAUUCAGGCUUGAGGUGUGUGUUGUGUGCAAGGAGGGUGAGUAGGCUUUGUGGGAUUCAAAGUCACCUCUUUGUGUGUGGUGUUUGUGUAAUCUGUGAUUGGUUGCAUAGUGAAAACUCAGUGGUUUGACUGAGGACUGGAUGUAGCUCUGUGAUAGAGUGAACCAGUAUAAUCUCUGUGUGUAAAUCUCUCUAUCCCUUCUCUCUAUAUCUGUUUAUAUUUUUCCGCUGUCAUAAACAACCGGUUAAAUCACUAUUUUAACCGAUUAAAAUUUUGCUUUUGUUUUUGUUUGGUAAUUUGAUUAGCUUUCUGAAUUGCUUUUCUGGGUUGAUUGAAAAAGUUUUAUUCUAAGCCAAGUAUUUGUGAAAAUAGUUUGAAAACAAUUCACCCCCCCCUCUUGUUGUAGCCAUAAAAUCUAACAAACCUCCCCUUGGUAAGAUGCCAAGAGUGGGAGCGAAGUCUUUCCUUGGUAAGAUUCCAAGAGUAGCAGCGAAUAUCCCCUUGGUAAGAUUCCAAGAGUGGGAACAUUAAGUGUCAUAGCAAACCUCAGUGAAGUCUCCCCUUGGUAAGAUUCCAAGAGUGGGAGCGAAGUCUCCCCUUGCUAAGAUUCAAAGAGUGGGAGCGAGAUCUCCCUUUGGGGGAGUAGUAAGGCUCAUAGCAAUUCAGGCAAUACCUCUUGCUCAGAAAGCUCAGGUUGCCACUUGCACGAACCACAGUAAAACUUCUCUUUAGGGAGUACGUACAGAUAAAGCAAAGCAAUUCGUGCAGGAGGACCUGUUGACCAGCGAGGCUCUCUGAACUCAGGUACCCCAGAGCAUAAGUGUACCAUUGAUUAAUCAGGAGGACCAUGCUACUUACGUAUGGUCGAUCAUUGGUGUUCGAUUAGUUAUUAAACUGAUGAAAGUUGUGUCCAUUCAAGGCAUACACUAUUAUUAAACUAGCCGAAGUCAGGAAGGGAAACAUGCAUAUAUAUAUGUAUGUACACAAGAAAGGUAAGUUGUUCGUUAGAUUACAAAAGGAAGGCAAUAGCAGGGGAGUCCCCUGCGGCUAUUCCUUAUCUACUAGUUGCCCAUCUACGACAACUUUACCUAAUCCUAUCUGGGAGAGAUCCAGCUCAGGGUGCACGCAGGUGACUUAAGCCAUGGCAUCUUCAAAGCCUGUCGUGUAGGAGUAAGCGACAUCGCUCGUCAGCUCGUCCUUGGUCUUUUGUAGGAGCUCAUCCUUCUGUGCCAACUCCUCUUUCUGCCUGGCCACCUCCUCGUCCCUCCCAGCCAACUCUCCCUUCAGCUUCUCCACCUCAGUGCGGGGAUUGUUGUUUCUUGCGUACAACCCCAUGGCCUCUUGGGACUUCCUGAAAAGGAGGGCCUUGGUCUCUUGGUGCACUUUCCAAAGCUCUUCCACCUCCAACGUAAGUCAGGUGACUUGUCGUUUGAGCCCUACAACUUGGAGGGCUUCUUCUUUGGCCAGCUCCUUUGCUUUCCACAGUUUGGAGAGGAGAAAGCAAUUUGCCACUAGGGUUUCCCCCAGUUUCCUUGUGGCGUGCUCCAUCAAUGGACCCUCCUCCAGGCUCUCCAAUCUUCCCUUAAUUUUGGAGCAGAGCAUCAUUUUGUGAAGGAAGGAGACUGGGUCCCAGUGAUCUCACUCUGAAGCACUUUUUCCUCUACCUCAUGCACUGCAAUGUCGCGAGGAGGGGAAAGGCUGGGUGGAAAAUCCCGGUAGGAAGGAGCUCGGCCGCCUGAGGUGGAGUGGACAAAACCUACAGCAGCAUCUGUUCGCUUCCUCUUGAAGACGAGUCCAGAACAAGUUUCAUCGUCCUUAGAAGGGGUGACUUCAGCCACUGCCUUCAAUUUUUGACCCUUGGCAGAAGGGACUUGGGUGGUCUUCUUUUGUUUAGCCAGAGCGGCUAAGUUCUUUCUCUUUUGAGUGUCCAACAUGCUAUAUGCAUGAGAAUGAAAACAAUGAACAGUUCAGAAAACACACACAUGCAAGAUAUGGCUAGCAGGAGUAAAGGGAAGGAGGAUACCAAUGUAUUCCUUAAGGCUUGUAGGGCUAUACUCGUUCUUUAUCAAUUCGGCAUUGCUAAACACUGCCUUGAGGUUGAAGAGGAAGAGACACACCUCUCGUUCUCGCCGGGGUAGGUCUUCAAGGUAUCUGGGUUUUGGAAUUCGGGUUCCUUAGUCCAGUAUAGAGGAAACCCGUCCAGAAGGCUUGGAUCGCUAUCAUUGCAGCGGAUUUUGAAAAACUUACCCUUGAAGCCUUUGUAUGAUUGCAUGAAGAGGGUCAACAAAACUCUCCCAACAACCCCGUUAAAGCUCACCCACAUCUUCCGACCUGAUUUUUUGGCUUCGAAGAAGUAAAGGAAGACGUCCACUGAUAGCAGAUGGCCAAAGUGGUGGCACAAGAUGGAAAAUCCCCGAACAAACGCCCAUCUAUUUUAGUGUAGCUGGGUAGGGGCGGUGUUGAUCUCGGUGAGAAGGGCUCUUUCGAAACUAUGAAAGGGAAGGCGUAGAAGGAGUUUUUUGAAAACAGUAGAGUAGAUGAAGUAGAAUGGGCCAUCUAGGUCCGAUGACUCAUCACAGCAAACAGGUUCAUCUUCCAUACAAGGCAUAACCUUAACGAACUUGUCGUGCUCUUUGCCAAAAAGACAGUUCUUUUUAGGGUGCUCACUCUUCCUAUACAACAUUAUCCUCGCAUGGGGUGGUGAAUUCCGAGGUUUCCUAUAAAAGGUUACUAGAAGCCCAGGGGUAUAGGGUUUCGUAAUCCAUCUUACGAGGAAUCUAAAACAAAGAAAGAAAACAAAUGCAGUACUCAGAGGAGGAAGCGCAUGCGUUUUGAAGAAAGAAGUAAGGAAACAGAAAACAAAGGUAUUUACGGUCAUAGAUACGAGAAAUAUAAACAGUCCCAGCGCAGUUAUGAGCAGCUUAAAGGCAUUGAAAUGGCAGAAUGAAAGCAGUCAUAAGAUAAAAAACGCACCUUGAGAUGAUUGAGGAAAGGAGGCGAGGAGGCUUGUUUGGAGAGGUGAAAGCAGAGUGGUCAAAGAAAAGUGUUCAAAGAGAAGCACGAAGAUGGAAUGAAACAGUGAAGGGAGCGCAAGAAUUGAAGGGUUAACGUAUAAGGGAAGCGCAAGCGGCAACAUUUUCCAACCGUUGAUGAUGGCCACGUGUGCGCUUGUGAGAUAGUAUGGUGAGACGUCACCUCAAAACAAUGUGUGGGUCGCGUCAUUCAAAAGACACGUAAGUCGCCUUAGGCGAGAAGUUAGCCUUUUCACUGGAACAAGUUCCAGCUCGAGCCUGGGGGGCUUGUGUACUGGACCAGAGCGCCAGGCUCGGUGCUCAGGUGAUCGGACAUCGACACCUGUGUGGAACAAGUUAGCUCGGUGGUCUGGUCGAGUUAAUGGGUCACAUAAGUGGGACCUAAGAAUGCGUGUGUUGAAAUCCGUGUAUAUGUAAGGCCUAAUCAGCGAGAAAGUGCAUGUGGUGUGUAUAGUACAUUUGGGUCUACCACAAGUAAAUAUCACCUAAAGACGCCUAGGGUUUUCAGGGGUAAGCUGCAUGCAUGAUACGUAAAGGUUAGAGCGCCUACAGUGACAGAUGGGCCGCAUGAUGCUGGUACAUGAGUUGGUACCCUGGCGGCCAUGCUAUUAAGAUUAUGCACUCCAAGGAGGAAGAUUCUACGCGGUUGUUACACUAAGAUUGUGUGACAUCGUAACAGAAUGUCCUCCCAUCAGACCUACUUUCACUCAAGAUAAGGUUCUCGUGAGAGAAUGGUUGUUAUAAUGAAGUAACCUAAAAGUAGUCUAUAAAAGGGACUCGAGAUCCCUGGUAAAGGUACAUCGUUUCUAAGACUGAAACUACUUGCUUACUUACUCAUUGUUUCUUAGCCCAGUACUGACUAUAUCAUCAGAGUGUAAUCAACAUGUAAGGCCCCCUCUGUUUCAAAUGGAGCCGCGUUAUAACGUCCCAGGGAAAGAGAAAAUCCAGCAGAGGCAGACGGAGUCACAACCUGUUCCCAGAGUCAACAAGAACACUUAAAUUAGCGUAUCAAAAUAUUAUUUCAAUUAUUCUCCAACGGGAUUACUAGUAUAACUGGGCCAAACUCAUGACCCACCUUAUAGGCCCAAUAACCAAGCUGACCUACCCACAAUGUGCACCGAGCUCCGAUCACUGAGCACCGAGUACUCUGUCCAAUACAUAAGACCCCAAGCUCGAGUUGAGCUUAGCUGAGAGAAGUGGCUUUUCGAGUGCUCUGGUAGCUUACGUGGCAGUUCCUCAUUGGGUAGGUGUGGCGUGGCGCAUGAAGCGUUUCUGAGGUGACGUCUCGCCACACUCAAUCUUGAACGUACAUGUGACCCUUAUCAACGGCGGGAAAGCGUUGCCACUUGACAUUCCCAUAGACGUAUAAGCCAACGUUCAAAAACUCACUACCACUCACUGUUUCAUUUCUUUAACUCUUGCAAAACCCUCGCGCUCUUCGAACUUCCUCUGCACCCUCCUUCGAGCACCCAGAAACCUUUAUUGUCUUUGACUUACUUACUUUGCCUAGCCUGAAUAUGUGUGUUUGUAUUCUGCUUGUGUUUGUGUUUUUUUGAUAUACUUCUACAAUGGAUUACAAAGCUUUGUACCCCUAGGCACCUUCAAACCUCUUAUAGGAGACCUUCAUGUAUACCUCCCGUGAGCUUAUAAUGGCCCUUAGAAAGGGUGAAUGCAAGUUUAGCAAAGAGAAUGAUAGAUCUUUUAGGAUAAUCCCAUGUAGGGAGGAUGAACCCGUCUACUGUGAUGAGUCGUCGGAUCCUAAGGGUCCAUUCAGUUAUUUUUAUACCACCGUGUUUAAAAGGAUUCUUCUUCGUCUAUCCCCUGCCUAGCUACACCCAAACAACUAGGCAUUUGUUCGGGGCUACAUUAUCCUCUGCACACAAUUUGGCCUUUUUCCCAUCUGUUGAAGUCUUUUUGUAUUUGUUUGAGGCCAAACACCUAGGCUGUCAGCUUUGGGUAAUGAGGUGUCUGGAAGGGCACUAUUGUCACUCUUCCAACAGUCUUAUAAGGGCUUUAAAGGUAAAUUUUUGAAGAUAUGCUGCAACAAAAGGGAUCAAACCUUUCUGGAUGGGUUUUUAUUGUAUUGGACUGAAAAAUCGCGCUUCCAAGGUGCUCGGCGCCUGGAAGAUCUGCCUCAGCGCGACUAGGAGGCCUGCCAAUUCUUGUUGAGCUUAAAGGUGGUCUUCGAUACUUCCUUUCUCAUAAGCAGAGAGUUCACCCUCGGGGCUCUAAAGUCUUAUAUUGGUACUCUUCAUUCCCUACUCUUGAUAGGGCUAACUUUGCUAUUGUUGCUAACUACUUCUUGUCCUCUUUCGUAGAUAGUAUGUUGGCUAGGAUUGACAAGAAAGAGUAGGCGAACACGACCAAGAGGAUGAGGGCGGCUGCUCAAGUGCCUCAGGAUCUUAAGCUCAAAGCUCCAACCACUGUCGUUCCAGCCUCUACUGAAGAUGAUGAGGAAACGAAUUAUGGGUUGGUCUUCAAAAGUAAGAGGAAAGACAUAGCCGCCCCUAUCGAGCAUUCCCACUCAAAUGGGUGGGCUCCUUCCUACCGCGCUCCCUCAGCAAGUCCAACCCUGCCAUGCGACAUGAUGGUGGUGCAAGAGGAAGAGGGAAUGAGCUCCAGGGGAAAGGGUUUAUGGGACCUUGACUUGGACGUCCCCUCCUUCCUUGAGAAGACCCUUCUACCCAACGAGGAGAAGGAGAAACUCAUAACCCUCGAGGAAGAUCGCUUGGUGCACGAAACCAUGAGGCAACUGGGGCAAGCCCUUGCUGCAAGUUUCUUUCUCGUCACUAAGUUAAAAGAUUGGAGGGUCGGCGGGUCAAAAGGCUCAAGAGAUUGUUGAGCUCCAUAAAGGAAUGGAGAAUCUUCAAGCCAAGCUUCGGCAAUCCAAACUCCUACGCCAAGAAAUGGAGAGUCUUCAAGCAGAGCUUCAGCAAUCCAAACUGCUACAGAAGGAAACUGAAGCCCUAUUGACUGAGAAGGCUAAGGAGGCCUCGAGCUUGACUAAGGAAAAGGAGAAAGUCUUGGCAGAGGUUGAAAAGAUCAAGGAAGAACUAGCAUUAAAAGAUGAGGGCAUUGCCAAAGAGAAAGAAGCCUUCAAGAACGAUGCCCCUCAAUCCUACCUUGUAGGGUUUGACGAGGCUGUCGAGCAAGCCUCGGGCCUUCAUCCCGAAAUCAAUUUCUCCCAACUUGGCCUGGGUAAGACCGUGAUCAACAGGCAGCUUGUGGAGGAGUAGCCUAGUCUCCAUCUUUCAUGUAACUCAUAAUGCUUUGAACACUUUGAACAAUAUUGCACAUUUUCUUUUAUAAGCACUUUUUAUCCAUGCAUGUUAACAACAACUUUAUUUACUAAUCUAGCUAUUUAACUUAGUAAAUUUCGACUAGCGUAGCUAACGUAUACUUCAUUAUUUAACUUAGUGAAACAUGAUUAGCAUAAGUUUAAUAUCUAUUGAUAACAUACCAAUCAAAUACUUAUGCCAACCCUCCGAGCUAAAAUGACAACAGACUCAAUGUAUAAACCAAGUAUGAAAAAUCACGGUGCUCUUAAAGAACUAACCUUUUUAUGAACAUUUUUACCCCCUAAGCAGGAGUCAUAUACUUUGACCUUGCUAGCCAUGGCUUCACAUACUCGAAGAGCUGCACCUUUCUAAGCUUGGUCUUCUCAACCUGCGCUAAGAAUGAUUCAUCUAUCUUCUUGAAACAUCUAACCCAGGUGGUCGCUUACACACCAAGUCAACUCCAUUUUAGCCCAAACAAUCACCUUCACCACACAUUACUUAAUCACUCCACAAAGUGCUCGAAUUCAGGUGAUCGUCCUCUCGACAGACUACCCUGACUUCUUAGAUAAUUUAGUCUCAAUACUCAUCUGCAGAGCGCUCGAACUCGGGUGGUCAUACCGACGCCGAGGUAGGUCAUAUUACCUGCCUAUAGAUGACCAAUUUUUACAUAGAGCGCUUGCUCAGGUCAUCUCACCGAGAGAGGUUGAUAUGAAUCCACUAGCAAAGAAGAGAUGAUUCUUUGACAUUCUAUGGACUCAACUUGAGUUGGAGAUAGCUUAGGCACUUAUAAUAGAAUUGGAUCAAGGUUCUAUGUUUCAAGAACUCACCAAGACUUGCACCAAACACCAAACUCAUAUGGAGGAGCCAUCUAUUGUCAAUUGAACCGAACAAAUUGUGUAAAAAGGCAAAGACACCGAUUAAAACUCUUAAGAAAGCCAAUGAACCGAACAGAAUUAUGAAAAGAAGCUACUGAACUGGAUUAAAACAAAAUCAAAUGAAAACAACCGAACAAAAGUGCAAGGAAAGGAAGAUGAACCGAACAAAAGAAACUAAGACAUGUUUAAGCUUCAUAUAAAAUGGAGAUGAAAGAAAGAAGAACUUAUGGAGAUNNNNNNNNNNNNNNNNNNNNNNNNNNNNNNNNNNNNNNNNNNNNNNNNNNNNNNNNNNNNNNNNNNNNNNNNNNNNNNNNNNNNNNNNNNNNNNNNNNNNGGGUGGAUGUCCUCUUCCUUCAUUAAUAAAAGCCUCCUUUAUUUGAUUCUCAUCAUACUCCUCGAGUUGGAGAGAAUUCGUCCAUGAAUUAUGAAUCCCUGCAUAUAACAAAGUCAGUUUAUUUUUACAAUUAAAAGUGGAAGAAAAAGGUAAACAUGACUUAGCAUUUGUAAACAAUGGGAUUUCAGAAAAGGAGGUUCUAGAAAUCGACCAAGUUGGAAAAAUUUGUUUGGGAAUGAUGUUAUGUUUUGGAAAAAUACCUCUUAAAUGGUGACAACCAUUAGGAGGUAUGAACAAAUCAUCCCUAACAUUUUUUAACCAAGAUGGUGGUGAAGUAAGAACCUUUGGUAAUGAAAAAGAUAAGGAAGGAAAACACCUUGGAUGUGGAAGGAUAAGACCCAUGUCAAUUUGGCCUUCUCUGUCUUUUUCAUUUUUACUUGUGGUAGGUGGGUGAAUUAAGUCUUGUUUUACUUUGUUUAUCUUUAAGAUUUGCUUUUGUGGACAAUGAAGAGCUAUGUGCCCAAAACCUAAACAUUUAAAACAUUUGAUAUUUGAUGUUUUGGUAGGUGACUUAGGAGUAGAAAGAUUUGUAGUAGAAACAUUUUUUGGAAACAUGGUUUGUUUGGAAAAAUUGGAAGGAGAAAUAUAAGUAGAAAUUUUGUUUGCAUCCUUCCUAUAAGAGUUGUAGAAAUCAUCAUCAUGAGUAUUUUUGAAAGUUUUUUCCAAAAGAUAUGAUUCCACCUUGAUGGCUUUGCGAAACACUCUCUUUAAAGAAGAAUAUUCUUUUAAUUCUACAAAGUCUCUAAUAUCUCUUCUCAAACCACGUACAAACCAUUUAAUCUUUGACUCUUCAUUAGCAUGCAUAUUCAUUUUAGUCAAAGUUGUUUCAAAAUCUUUAAAGUAUUCAUCUACCAUCCUAUGUCCUUGAGGAAGCCUUUGGAACUUCAACAAGUGUUCCUUCCUAGAAGGAGGAACAAACCUCGCGCGCAUACGCUCUUUCAAAGCAUUCCAAGAAACCACGGGAGGUUUCUUGCGAUAUAUAAUGUCCAUUACAAUUUUAUGCCACCAUUCUUUGGCAUAGCCCAAAAAGGAUAAAGAAACUAACCUAAGUUUAUCGUCAUCUUGGACCUUAUACACAUGAAAAUAAUGGUCAACCUUAGUCUCCCAUUCUAAAUACACAUUAGGAUCACUAUCACCAUUAAAACUAGGGACUUGUCCACAAGAAAUGUUGAACACUUGGUGAUAUCUUUGGUCACGUGAUGUGAUUCCACUAGCCAUAUAGAGAAAGGUUCUUGACCUUCUUAGGAAUCACCUUGAGUUGGACAUUAUAGAGGCACUUUUCUUAGAGUUGGAUCAUUGUUCUAAGACAAGAACUCACCAAAAACUAGUACCAAAUCCCAAACUCAUUUGGAUGAACCAAUUAUAGUCAAAUUGAACCGAAUAAGGUGGAAGAAAAAGCAAUUGCACCGAACAUAUUACUUAUAGAAUGAAUUGCACCGAACAAAUGAGCUAGAAAAACAAAGGAACAAGAUGAAUGGGCUGAAAUAUAAAACUGCCGAACCAAAACUCAUAAAAAACAGCAUGAACACCAAACCAAAACUCAAGAACACAAGCUAACAAAAACAAUAGAAAGAGGAGGAAGGAAGGAGAAGAGAGUGCUCAUGAAGAUGGAAGGAUGUUGGAUGAUCUCGCCACUAGAAGUGUGGAAUGCUCCUAGAUAAGAGUGAUGCCGCCACUUGAGGACUCCAUUGAUCCAUCAAGAUAAGACUAGAGAAGAGGGCUCCAAAAGCUCUCCAAAGUUCACUCAAAAUUUGAGUAGAGUUUUCUUAGAUUAAUUCCAAUCUAAAUUUUACAAAGAGAGCACCUCUAUUUAUAGCCUAAGGUGCUGAAAAUGCAAGCUAAAACAAUUCAAAUUUCCCCCCUAAAUUCAAAUGCAAGUGGCGCCUAAACCAAGACAUGAGGAAGGUGUGAUCCCUUCUCUCACUUUGGCACCUCCUUAUUUACUCCUACACCUAUCUACUAACACACCCCCCCUAAGACUCCUAACUAAAGACUAAAAGAUGCUUUAACAAUAGAGGUUUCUAAUGUUUCCCUCUAAGCAGCUUUCUAAACAAUAUUUAUUUAAAACUUGGCCUUGCCCUUCAUGGGAUGGUCUUUGGGCUUUUGUGGGCUUUGGCCUUCUUGGGCUUGGGCUUUAUCUUUUGCAAAGAUUAACAAGAAAAGCUUUAAAUGUGAAGGCGAAUGAUCUUGUUCUUCAUUAUAAAAAGCCACCUUUAGUUGAUUCUCAUCAUCACGGUUAUGGCUCUCUUCAUAAGAAUGAUGGUGAUGCUUCCUUCUUCUAUGUUCCUCUUCACGGCCUUCUUGGGCUUGGGCUUGGGCUUUGGGCUUGGGCCUCAUCUUUAUUUUAUGUCUUCUUUUAAUUUUGAGAAGACUAGAAGGAAGAACUUCAAAUGUGAGGGUGGAUGUCCUCUUCCUUCAUUAAUAAAAGCCUCCUUUAUUUGAUUCUCAACAGAGGUCGCCUUACUUGCUUUACCUGAACCACAUUGAACUUUAGAGCGCCUGAACUCGAAGUCUUACCAAGAAAAGGUCGCCUUACUUGAAUCACGGAUAAACCACUCGUACAUAGAGCGCCUGCUUAGAUAAUUUCAUCGAGACAGGUUGUCUUACAUGGCAUUAAACAAUCAGUUAUACACACAUGGCGCCUACUCGGAUGAUCUCACCGAGGCAAGUCGUGUUAUCGUGAAUAAACAAUUCUAAUGCACCAUCUUUCAAGAACAAUUUUUCAUUGGGUGACCUCGUUAAAAAACCCUUUAAAGGGAAAAAUAGUGUCCCCUUAACCAUUACAUCGUUCAUAAAGAAAGCAUUAUCAAAAUGUAUUACUUGAAAUAAAAUUUAAGAUUCACCCCAUUCCAUGUUCGAGGUAUAGCUCCCCCCUCGAGGGUUUCAAGCCUGUAAGCUCCGUUCCCGAGCGCCUCUACUACGUGAAUGGGCCAGUCCACGUUGGAGAUAACUUAUUCUCCAGCUGAUAGGGGUGAGCCUUUCGCAUCACCAAGUCGGCAACCCGAAACUGACAAAGCUUUUACUUGGUCUUUUGCUCCACCCUUCUCUUCAAAGCCUCAAAAUUAAUGCAAGCUUGUUCAUGCACUUCAUGUAGCUGAUCCAGGUACACCUUCCUUCCUUAGUUUGACUCCUCAUUUAAUGUGGCCCUCUUGGAUCUCUACUAGUAUCAUGGUGUCUAACCCAUAUACCAAACUGAAGGGUGUCUCCUUAGUCGUUGACUGAUGAGUAGUGUUAUAAGCCCACAAAAUACGAGGAACUUCUUCCGACCAAGUUUCCUUGGCCUUCUCCAAUCUCCUCUUCAACCCUCUUAGUAAGACUUUGUUGGCAGACUCAACCUGGCCAUUCGUCUGAGGGUGUUCCAGCGAGGAAAAUAUCUGUUUGAUGUCGAGCUUCAUGCAUAGCUUGCAUAACUGUUGACUUGCGAACUGGGUUUCGUUGUUGGACACCAAGUGUCUAGGGAUCCCAAAAUGGCAUACAAUGUUCUUCCACACAAAAUGCUACACCUUGUGAGUAGUUAUUUGUGCGACUGGCUCGACCUCAAUCCAGUUUGUGAAGUGUUCAAUGGCUACCACGAGGUACUUCAGUUGAUGAAUUGCCAAAGGGAAAGGACCCAAGUUGUCUAUCCCUCAGGUAUGGAAGGGCCAUGGUAGAUGGAAUGCCACUCCUCAACUGCUGCGUGGUGCCAAUCAGCGUGCUUCUGACACUCCUUGCAUCGUUGUGCAUGCCUCAUGCAAUCCUUCUUCAUGGUCGGUCAAUAAUACCCAACUCGAACGAUCUUCAACGAGAGAGCUCUUCCUCCGACAUGACUGAUAAGUGCCUAAUUUCAGUAAUAUUUUAUAUUAAAAUAUAGGCACUUAUGAGGAUUUAUUGCUAAUUUACAUAUAAAAUAAUCCCUAAUUUAUGAAUUUAUACCUUUUUACAUUUUUAUGAGCUUUAUUUGAAUAAAAGCAUUUUAUUCCCAAAUUUGGUGUUAAUUGCAGAUUUCUAGGGAAGAUUGAAGAUUUGAAAUAAAGGAGAAUAAUUUGAGCUAAAAAGAUAAAGCCGGAAGAUCCCAGAAUGGAAAAAGAUGCAAAGAAAGAUUGAGCUUUUUUUAUGUUUUAUCAUUUAGCCCAUUAGCGCGACACAGGAAGCAACCUAACCCUAGAAAACUAGGAUAAAUAGAGGGCUAGAGGCUCAACCCUAGUGUGCCAGAUUGAGAGGAAAACACCAUAGAGUGAAUUGUAACCCAAUUGGGAGAAUGGAAGGUGCUAGAAGUAUGCGUGGCUAAUUCUACCUUUGGGAUUGGGAGUAAUCUGUUCAAACUCUUAUGUAUUGAGGUGAUAUCUUAUAUAUUAAUAUUCAGUUCUUGAUUGAUUAUUGGUAUUGUUGUUUUACUUUUAAUUUUCCGUGACAAGUUGAGAAUCUUAAAUAUGACCGGGAGGUAUUUUUAGGGUUCGGACCUAAACAACAAUACUUAACAUAUUUGAGUGCUAGGAAUAGACUUGAAAUGUUAAUUGCUAUUAAACGUCUGAGCUUCAUUCUAAGUUGUUCUUAUAAUUAUGCGAGGGAUCGAUAGUUAGGGGACAUUCUUAAGGAUUUUAUGUGCGAGGAAUCGAUAUAAAUGAUUUUUAUACGGGCAUCAAUUUCAAUCAAAGAACUUAAUAUUGACAUGCUAAUCAAAAUACUUGAGAGUGAGAGAGAUGAAACUAAUCCUUAUUUUUCCAAUUGAAACAACUAAUUCUUUGUCUGUUUUCUUAUUGAUCAGUGCCAACACAAUUAAUUCAAAACUCUUUUAAUUGUUCUGUUUUUAUAUUUAGCGAUUAUUGUACUCGAUAAUUCACGGUUCCUUGUGGGAUCGAUAUUCGUCCUUAGGGACAAUUAUUACUUCUGACAAACGUGGUGCACUUGCCUUAAAAAGUCAUCAAUGACUCUCACAAAUGCCUUCGUGGAGCUCCUUCAUGAUGCGGGUACACUGAUCCCCACUUACAUAAGUGAGGAUGGGUAGGUAUAACCAUGACGAAACAAUUUCCCAUCUACAAGGGUAUACUUCUCCUCAUUCCUCUUAAAUGCCUUUGCCUCUGUAGGUUCUGCAGGGAGCAUACCAUCAACUAGAUAGCGUUGGUAGGGAGUUAUCGAAGUCUUCAUCGUGUGGACCAGCAGGGCCUUCAGAGACUCAUCUCCCAACAAGUCAUAGGUGGUUAUUCUUGGCACUUUUAAGGUCUUCUGUGUCAACGACCGAUGCCUUCUCCCUUGUUGCGAGCUCACCCCCAAGAUCUUUACGCGGUUGUCCUCGGGUAGCCCCCCGACAGUUGUCCUAGGUGACUUCAAGGUCUCCAGAAUGACUGACCUCUGUCGGCCUCCCUUUCCCGAGCUUGCUAGUUUGGACAACAAGUCAUCUCGAGAGUUUUGUUCUCUUGGGACAUGCACUAGCUUAAACAUGGAGAAAGUUGCCUUCAGAAGUGAUCCUGCCGGUUGACUUAGCACAAGAGCGUUGCUUCGUCACCGUCUUCCCCACCAGCUUGUCACCACGUGUCCUCCAAGCCCAUACAGCAGAUAACCUCUCUGAGAACCUGAAAAACACACAGUGGCGCCUCGGCGGCCGGUGGCGCUCCGACGCUCAAGUUAGUGACAAGAACACCCAAAAAACUAAGAGAAAAAUAUGCUUUGUAGGACCGUACUGUAGGCACACAACCCUAGCAGUAUCAGCCGUAAUGAAAACGUACCUCUGCAAAUUCUGUUAAGGUUACCUUUAUAGCUAGGUUUCUUCUCUCUCCAGGCCGUUAUGCUUUUGGACGAGUAGCUCGCAUCCAGCCCUGCACGUGUCGCCAUCUGGGCUGGGAUAACAGGUAGCGCCCAGCCCUACACGUGUCGUCAUCUGAGCUAAGGCAACUUGAGCGUCAUUUCUCCAUCGCUCCCAACCCUAGACGUGUCUUCAUCUAGGUUGGAGUAACUGGUGACAUCCAACCCUACACGUGUCAUCAUCUGGAUUGGGACAACUUGAACGUGAUUCUUGUGUAGUAACCAGCCGCACAGCUAAGUCCUCAACUCAAGGAGCAACCUAGCACAUAAUGUGCUGUGAAACACCACCCGACAUGGCGAGUAUCGGAUGCAACAAAGUGCAUCAUCUCUAUGAUAUCGCUCGCCGCGAAUGGCACCCUCCUUACUGCUACGCCAUGCAUGUUCUAGCUGGGGAAACCUUGCCACCAACGAAUGUCCACUCUGGGAAUCCUGUCGCUGAUGUGCAAGGUGUUCCCCCCAACCCACUCGACCUUCAUGCCCCAUGCUGGUGCCACAAUCGUCUUACUGAACUUACACGCUUGGAAUUACCCUUCUGAGCCUUCAACAGCCUUAACUAAGUUCGCUGGGAGACCCGGCGAUGUGCUCCUUGUGGCGGCGUGUAAACCACCCGAUCUCCUAGCAUUCUCAUAUGGCGACUGCGACGUAACUCUGGUGACCGCCGGUUACGCACACUAGAGAUCGGAGAACGCCAAUUCAGCGAUCGGCGACUAUGCCCACUUCCGAGCCAUUCAUCUUUUCUAGCCUACGCGUUCCAUUGAGCACGCCCCACUCGAGCACGUGCAAGACACGUCAUCACGCCUGAUGACCUGGUCGGUACACAAGCCUCUUAGUCUCGAGCUGCGACUUGUUCGACGAGGAGACUAAAGAGGUUUAAAAUCCGGCAGCUUUCGUGACUUUGCGCGUUGGCGCUAGAACUGUUUACUGACUUGACAUUUCACCAACUCCUUCGAUCGUUCGACACAUGGACCCAUCAACGGCCAUUGUUCGCUGUCGUUUGCGCUUCCUACAACGUUCGAAACCCUUAAACCCUUCGCGCUAUUCACUGUUUCAUUAUCUUUCUUCACCUUCAAGCAUUCUGAACGCUCUCUCUGCGAACUGCGAAACCUACGCCUCCCUCAAUCUUCAACUUCUUUCAACACUCAUCUGAUCAUCAAAAGGUAACUCUUUUACUCCUUCUACUGAUACUUGUUGCAUUUUAAUCGGUUUGCAUCAUCCAUUAACUCUCGCUCGUUCGUUUUGUCUUCUUUGUCUUCGAUCGAGUCAUUCUUUUGCUAUCCUCAUUUCCUCCCUUUUCUUUCCUUUGCAGUUCCUGCGAUGGCUCAGACAAAGUCCACCGCUAACCCACCUUCCUCAUCGCGAAACCCUCCCCCCAAUACUCGUAGGGUUACCACUGGGACAAACCCUCCACCAACACGCAACCCCCCACGAGCCUCUGGUGCCCCUUCCUCACACGCUGAGAGGCCUGCCUCAUCCCGUGCCAAUCUUACCCAAGCAACUCCACCACAGGCCGGGGGAGUCUCCCUUCCUUCUCAAGACUACAAAAAGCUCUACCCUUGGGCCUCCCCGAUUCUACUGAAGGAAACUUCAUCGAUAAAUACUGAUGUGGGGGUACAUCGNNNNNNNNNNNNNNNNNNNNNNNNNNNNNNNNNNNNNNNNNNNNNNNNNNNNNNNNNNNNNNNNNNNNNNNNNNNNNNNNNNNNNNNNNNNNNNNNNNNNNNNNNNNNNNNNNNNNNNNNNNNNNNNNNNNNNNNNNNNNNNNNNNNNNNNNNNNNNNNNNNNNNNNNNNNNNNNNNNNNNNNNNNNNNNNNNNNNNNNNNACCAAGCUCAACAUCGCCCCUGCCCAGCUCCAUCCCAACAGCUGGGCAUUCGUGAGGGCGUUCCAGAUCCUUUGCGCGCACUUGGGGCUACCAUCUUCGGUGGAUGUCUUCCUCUUUUUGUUCGAGGCAAAGAAUCCUGGAGAUCGCCCCUGGGUCAGCCUGAACGGGAUUGCUGGGAGGUCAAUCCUCUCCAUCUUCCAGCAAUCCUACAAAGACUGGAAGGGGAAGUUCGUCAAGGUGUGCCAGAAUGAUCAAGACCCUUCACUGCUUGACAGCUUCCCCUUGUAUUGGGUAAACAAGGGGCACAAGGACCCCAAAGACAACUUCAGGAGACCAAGAAGUCCUGACAACAUGGGGGAGUUGGACAAAGACCUUUGUCUCUUCUGGAAGAGUGUGGCUUCUGCCAACAUCACCUUCCCCACUGCUCAGAUAAUCUCCUUUGAAUUCCUUGAGGACCAACUCGAAAUGUACAUAGGUUAGCCCCUUUCCCAACACCAAAACUCUCACUUUGCGUUAAAACUGACUUAGCAUUUUUACCAUUCUGUCUUCGGCAUUCCAUUAUUCUUUAUUGGCCUUGAUCAUUCAUCCAUGUGCUAUUCGCUUAUGUUAUCUUUGUAUGUAUAUACUUGCAUGUUCUGCUUCCACUUGAGUUACUCAUCUAUUUUUACCUUGUGCAGACGCAAUGUUGGGCAAAGGAAAACUGGCUGAAUUGAGGGCGAUCGCCCGAUCCCACAAACUUGCGGCGGGCUCUCAAACGAUCCCGAACUCUGUUGCGGAGAUCGCCGCCGCCCAGGGCCAAUCCCCACCAGUUGGUCCACCCGCUGCUGUCGCUCUUCCAGCCCCCCUACGCAAAAAACUACCUCUUAAGAAGGCCAAAAGGAAAGCCCCUAGGGUAGUAUCUGACGAAGAGGCGGACGAAAGCACCGAGGACGGGCUAAUCUGCAAAAGGUCCAGGGUGGCGGUUACCGAGCCCUCAGCAAUUGGGAGCGCCGCUCCAAACUUCAUCGAGGACCCCCCCAGCGCCUCCACACCAUUCGAGUCCGCUGGGGAUGUUCUCGUUUCAAACGCUUCAGUUGCUGAGGCCGCUCCUGAGCAACUCGCUGAUACGCAAGCCUCCUCAGAAGCUGCCGAGAAGCUGCGUGCCUUACCACCACGCCUCGAAGCUCCCCCCGCCGUCCAACCUUGUGAGGGUGGUGGUGAACACCAACCUUCGCCUCCACCAGCAAAUUCAGGCCUCCCAGCCGCUCUUCAAGAAGCUUUCAAGUCCUUCACCGUGUGCCUAAGUGCCAUGGUUGACGAUUGUCUUCCCCAAAUCAUCGGCGAAGGGCUCAAAGACUCCUUGGAGAAGUUUGAGCUCGACAACCGGAUCAACCAAGAGGUGACAAGCACCGCGAAAGCUGAAGCCGAAAAAACCAAGUGCGACAUGAUGAUGCAAGGCUUGGAGUUUUUACGAGUUGAAAACGCCCUCAAGGACGAGCUCCAGAGCGUGCGGCAAGAUAACAAAGAGCUGCGCAAGAAGCUUCAUGAAAAACUCCAAGACGCUGUCGAGCUGGAGAGCAAGAUCGUCCCUCUGAGGGAGAAAAUUUCCGCGCUGGAGGAGGCAAAGAAGACUGACGCUCAGAAGAUGGUCAACCUAGAGAAGAGGUCAAUCGAGAGAGAGACCCUUAUGGGAAAGGUUGAGCAAGAUCGUGAUAAGGCCUCCCAAGAACUCAGUGAAACUGCUGCUGAGCUAGCUCGAGUUCGCGAGGAGAACAGCGAGCUCAAGAAGAAGGCCGACAAGCUCGAGCUUGAAGUCACCCAGGUUCGUGAAGAGAACAGUGGGUUCAAGACGAAGAUCAACGAGCUUCAGCUUGAGGCUGCCCAGGUUCUAACUUCCGGCUUUGGCGUUGCUUUAGAGCAGUUUGCUUGCAAAUAUCCUGACCUCGAUCUUUCUGAGUUCUCGGUGUACAACGAAGUGGUGGACAGCAAAAUCGUGCCCCCGAUUGACUUAUCUCCUUGAAAACUCUUAUGCUUUACCUUGGUCUGUAAUAAUUUUCAUUUUGUUCAAACUGUUCGAUGCUCGUAUGCACAUAUAUACAUAUAUAUAUAAUCUUCUAAUUUAUCUGCUGCACAAUCAACUGGUUUAACUAACAUAACUGGCGAAACUUACUCGGCUGCAUGAACUCAGCAAUACUUGAACUUAACCCUUCACAUACCGCUUCUGACUCGAGUAAAUUGCUAACCUUAUGACAAACUUAGCGAGCUAUUAACUCAAAGUAAAUUUGAGCAGCAAUCAACUCUCCGGCAAUGGCACUCAAUAAAACUUGUGAACUUAGGGUAACAAACCUUAACAUAAAAUCACUUACUAUGCAGCAGGUUUUAACUCAAACUAGUAUUAAAAUACAGUUUACCUGAUCUGCUAAGUGAAGUGCCCAUUACUUCCCUCAUUGCCUGGAACUCUUCUAGUCUGGCACUCGCCAUACAACCCCUCCACUGUCUCAACCUUCACGCCAUAGGGUUCUGGCGAUGUUACCUUUCUUCUUUGUAUAACUUGAUCAUUGUUCUCUCAUCUGGGGGUAAAGGCGCCUUUCGGAUCCUUCUCUACCUCCUGAGUUUUAGAACAAUGAUCUGGAUAGCGAGGUGUUCUCUUCGAACCUACCUCAGUUAUCCUUUAUCUUCUUCCACCCUUCACACCGCACCUGAGAUCGUUCAAGACGAGAAGGAUUUUAUCUAUCUUCACACCGCCCGCAAGUGCGGAAGCUUUAUAUGGUCUUACUGGGUCAAUAUUGAUGUUUCACUUAAAGGGGAAAAAGGCGUUUUCCAUCGACCUUCCCUUCUUGCCGUUUAAGGUCACAAACACCCCUGACUUUUCAGUUUCAUCUUGCCUGAACUCACUCUGGGGUGAGAAGGACUUUCUCUGGUGCCUCAACUUGCCCAGGGUGUACAUCUCCUCCCCCCUGGAUGCACUGAGGACUUUUAAUCUUGCCUCAAUCUACUUAUGCAAAGAGGCCUUUCAAUCUGUUCUUGCCUUCACUCGCUCAAAGGCGAGGAGGACUUCUUCUAUUUCUCGCCUGCACUCGCUCAAGGGCGAGGAGGACUUCUUCUUUUGCCUUAAAAUGCACGAGGGCGUUGAGGGCUUUUUACACUACUGGUGCCUCCGAUCGCCGAAAGACGAUGAGGUCUUAAAACUUUUAACUGUUGUCACCGAUCGCCAAAAACGACGGGGACUUUAAAACCUUUACUACUGAAGCAUGCAAUAUGACUUUAAUGUUGCCCUAGAUCACGUACGAGUGAUAAGGUCCUUUUUUUUCUAAAACUUUCGAAGCAAUAAGCAUGCAAACUUGGAAGCUUUAAACUUGAAAAACUCUUCUUUAUUGGGUGGCCUCAUUAAAAACCCUCCUUAGGGAAAAAAGAGUGCCCCCUUGAAAUUGUUUUAACAGAAACUAUUCCAAUCUCGUCAUGUUCGUCUUUACUUACAAGGCUUUAACUGUAAUACAACUUGAGAUGUGUGGCGUUCCAAGUGCGAGGAAUCGCCCCUCCUUCUAACGUCUCCAAGCGGUAGGCGCCAUUCCCGAGCACCUCGGUUAUUCUGAAUGGUCCCGUCCACUUAGGCGACAACUUGUUCUGCAUCUCAUACUGAUGGGCCUUCCUCAUCACCAGAUCGCCACUUCUAAACUGCUUUGUCAUUACCUUAGAGUUGUACCUUCGCUCAAUUCUUCUCUUUACUGCUUCGGCCUUCACUCUCGCCUCCUCCCUGACCUCAUCCAGCAAAUCCAGAUUCAUUCUUCUUUCUUCGUUCGAGUCUUCCGCCACAAAGUUCUGGAAUCUCGGCGAGCUUUCCUGGAUUUCGACUGGAAUCAUCGCAUCACAUCCAUAAACCAAACUAAACGGGGUCUUGUGGGUUCCUGACUGCUCAGUGGUAUGGUAUGCCCAAACUAUGCGGGGUACCUCUUCAGCCCACGAUCCUUUAGCUUUUUCUAAUCUUCUCUUUAAACCUCUCAGCAACACCCGAUUGGCAGACUCCACUUGGCCAUUCGUCUGUGGGUGCUCGACGGAUGCAAACACCUGUUGUAUUCCCACCUCUUCGCACAACUUUUUCAAAAGGUGACUUACAAACUGAGUCCCAUUGUCUGACACCAGGCGUUUAGGCACACCAAACCGGCACACUAUGUUCUUCCAUACAAAGCUCUCGAUCUUGUGUGCGGUGAUCUGGGCCACUGGCUCCGCUUCGAUCCACUUGGUGAAGUAUUCGAUCGCCACUACCAAGUACUUCAUCUGCCUGACCGCCAGUGGGAAGGGUCCCAAAAUGUCAAUUCCCUAAGUAUGAAACAGCCAGGGGCUGUAAAUUGACUUCAGCUCUUCUGGGGGUGCCUUGUGCCAAUCGGCUUGCUGCUGGCAUUGCUUGCAACGCUGGGCGUAUUUCUUGCAAUCUUCUCUCAUCGUGGGCCAGUAAUAGUCUGCACGGAUAGUCCUUGUCGCCAGCGAUCGACCUCCAAUGUGGCUCCCGCAAAUUCCCUCAUGGAGCUCAGCCAUAAUCCUCGUGCACUUCUCUCCGUGUAUACAUACAAGAAGAGGGUGUGUAAAUCCAAACCUGUACAGCUCGCCGUCAAUAAGGGUAAACUUGCUGGAGCUCUUCUUUAUCCUUCUGGCCUCAGUUGAGUCAACUGGAAGCACACCAUCUGCUAAAUAACGUUGGUAAGGCGUUAUCCACGUGUCUGGUUCGUGGACAGCGCAAACCUGCAUCGGUCUUGCCCUUUCCGCUGGGCGCGCUCUAACCCUCGGCACCCUCAGAGUUUCCUACGUUAGGGAUCUAUGACUUCUCGCCGGUCUUCCCAUUGAUCUACAAACAUGGAGAACUUGGUGGUCUGCCACGAAUGCUCGAGGCGCUUUCAAAGUUUCUUGAAUGACAGUCCUCUGCCUGCCCCCUUGCCCGAACUGGCGAGCUUGGCUAGCAAGUCAACUCGAGCAUUCUGCUCUCUUGGCACGUGCACCACUUCAAAUGACAUGAAAGAUCUCCUUAGCUCUUGCACGUACUCCAAGUAGGCUGCCAUUUGUGGGUCCUUGGCUUGGAACUCGCCAGUUACUUGUCCGGUGACCAACAACGAAUCGCUCUUGGCCAUCAGCACCCUCGCCCCCAUUUCCUUAGCCAGCAGAAUUCCGGCGAUCAAAGCCUCAUACUCUGCUUGGUUGUUGCUUGCUUUGAAAGCAAACCUCAAUGAUUGCUCUAUCAACACUCCGUUGGGCCCUUCCAAAAUGACCCCCGCCCCGCUGCCCAGCUGGUUGGAUGACCCAUCAACUGAGAGUACCCAGCGAAAGUCACCCUCGGCGUUCUGUGCCACCUCAGAGGACAACUCGACCACGAAAUCGGCGAAAACUUGUCCUUUGAUCGAUCCCCGGGGUUCAUAUCUGAUGUCGAACUCCGAAAGAUCGACUGCCCACUUCACCAUCCUUCCAGCCACAUCGGGCUUCUUCAAAACCUUCUGGAUUGGCAGAUCGGUCAUGACCAGUACCGUGAAGCUCUGGAAGUAAUGGCGCAAUCUCCUCGCCGAGAAUACAACCGCCAAUGCUGCCUUUUCUAGGGCCUGGUACCUUACCUCCGGGCCUUGCAACACCUUGCUAACGAAAUAUAUAGGCCUUUGGAUCUGAUCCUGAUCUUGCACCAGCACUACGCUGAUCGCCCUCUCAGUUAUGGCAAAGUACAGCCCGAGCGGUGUCAUGAGUUGGGGCUUGCACAGAACUGGAGGGCUCGCCAAAUAUUCCUUGAGCUUUACGAAGGCCUCCUCACACUCCUUUGUCCAAACAAACCUGUGGUCCUCUUCAAACAUUGGAAGUAUGGGUGGCCCUUCUCUCCGCUUGCCGAUACGAAUCGGGACAGGGCGGCCAUCCGCCCUGUGAGUUGCUGCACCUCCUUCACAUUGGCGGGGCUCCUCAUUGCCAAAAUGGCGGCGCACUUCUCGGGGUUAGCCUCAAUUCCCCUCUCUGACAGGAGAAACCCCAGAAAUUUCCCUGCUUCUACACCAAAAACGCACUUUUCAGGAUUCAGUUUUAGCUUGUACCUGGCUAUCGUGAUGAACAACUCUUCCAAGUCUGCGACGUGCUUGUCUUUCUCCAGGGACGUCACGACCAUGUCGUCGAUGUAUGCUUGUACAUUCCUUCCGAGCAUGGGUGCAAGCACCUUGUCCAUCAGCCUUUGGUACGUAGCCCCUGCAUUCUUCAACCUGAAGGGCAUUAACUUGUAGCAAUAACAUGACCUUUCCGUCAUGAAGGCGGUCUUCUCUUCGUCCAUGGGGUGCAUUUUGAUUUGGUUGUACCCCGAGAAGGCAUCCAGAAAACUGAGCAGCUUGCACCCUGACGCACUGUCUACCAGGGCGUCUAUGAUUGGCAAAGGGUAAGAGUCCUUCGGGCAGGCCUUGUUCAGGUCCGUAAAGUCAACGCACAUCCGCCAUUUUCCGCUGCUCUUCUUGACCAGGACAACAUUAGCGAGCCAUUCUGGAUAUUGGAUUUCCCUGAUGUGGCCUGCUGCAAGGAGUUUCUAUGUCUCUUCUUUGAUCGCCUGCCUCUUCUCCUCAUUGAACUUUCUUCUUCUUUGGCGUAUCGGCCUGAUCUAGGGGUCCAUUGCCAAACGAUGGCACAAAAAAUCGGGAUCGAUUCCCGGCAUAUCUGAAGCAGCCCACGCAAACGCAUCCAAGUGUCUACUUAUCACCUUGGCGAUUUGGUCUUGCGUCUUGCUAUCCAGGGUCCUUCCCAACUUAAACACCUUGCCGCUGAUCUCCUUCUCGAGCCAUUCCUCUACUGGCUGAGAUUUCCUUUUGCUGGCGAUCAGCGCUCUCGCGAUACCGAUUUCUCUGGCGAUUUGUGAGCAGUUUCUUUCUCCCUUCCCGCUCUCCGGCCUCCCCUCUACACUCCCCAUCGGCACAUCACCCUCGGCGACCACCUCUAACGCCGAAUCCGAAACUCGCCGGGGUUCGCGCUCUGGCUCCACGCCAGGGGGAGGCGUUGUGGUUACGUGGCACACAGACCUCUUGUUCUUGAGGCUGUUUUCGUAACACUUCUUCGCCUCCUUCUGGUCGGAGCAAAUAGUGAUGAUCAUGCCCUCCAUAGAAGGCAGCUUGACCUUCAUAUGCCUUGUCGAAGGCACAACUCCUGUUCUGUUGAGCGUUGGCCUUCCCAACAGUAUGUUGUAAGCUGACGGGGCGUUUACAACAAGAUACCUGAUCUUCUCCGUUCGUGAGGCCAAGCCGUCAGUGAAGGUCGUCCUCAGCUCGAUAUACCCCCUCACCUCCACUUGGUCGCCGGCAAAACCGUACAAGCAGCCCCCAUAUGGUCUUAGUUGAUCAGGGGACAGUUGUAACUUCUCAAAAGUUGGCCAAAACAUCACAUCUGCUGAGCUUCCUUGGUCGACCAGCACCCGGUGGACGGUCCUUCCCGCCGUGACAAGCGAGAUCACAAUAGGUUCGUUGUCGUGAGGCACCACGUUCCUGAGGUCCCCCUUGGUGAACGUGAUGUCCACGUCGAGCGAAUGAUCCUCAAAGAUUUCCACUGACAUUUCCACCCCCCGCCGGAGAAUCCGCCAGCUAUGGUGUGGAUCUCGCCGUGAAUGGGCACCUCGUGUUGUUGCCCUCCGCUGCUUGCCGGUUGAGACCCUGACGCUUGGUCCGCUUGCUUCUCUAGCAAGUAAUCCUUCAGGAAACCACAUUUGACCAGCUCGGCGAGCUGGUGUCCUAGAGCCAAACACGAGUUGAUAGAGUGGCCAAAACUCUUGUGGAACUCGCACCAUGCGUCUGGCUUUGGCCCCAAAAUCUUCUCCGUCGUUUUCUCAGGCACUUUGAGCUUGGCAACAAUGUUUGGGAUGGCGAUCAAAUCAGCCAAACCCAUUACAAACUCAUACCUUGGGGGGCGAUUACUCUCCCUGGGGCGCCCUGGUCCCUCGCUCUUAUUUUUGUUAGGGUCGUAAGGAUGGCGCGUCCUUUGAUCCCUCUUUCCCGCCGCCGUCUCCGUUACCCUCUGCGGUUGUACCCGUGCUUGGGCGCGCGGUUUAGUUGGGGCCACGUUUCCCCUCUUCUCGGUGACCUCACUUUCGGCGGCGAUGUGAGCCACAACACGUUGUCGGAUUUCAGCAAACGUGGCGGGGUGGCUCCUGAUGAGCGACUCAAUAAAAGGCCCAGGUAACACGCCCUUUUUGAAGGCAUGCACGAACAUCUCUUCGUCCUUUCCGGGCAAACGGACUAUCCGAGCUCCGAAUCUGUUCAGGAAAUCCUUCAGGGACUCCACUUGGUACUGCCUUAUAUCAAACAAGUCGUAAGACACCAAAGGUGGCGCCUUGUUCACUAUUUACUGCUCAACAAACAUCUUGGAAAACUGUUCGAACGUGGUAAUGUGGCCAGUGGGUACACUGACGAACCAAUCCAACGUCGUUCCGCUCAAAGUGCUCAUGAACACCUUACAAUACACCGCGUCUGAGCCCCCUGAGAACAUCAUCUGAGUAAAAAACGCCGUGAGAUGGGCUUCAGGGUCCUCCACCCCAGUGAAAGACGCUUUCACUACCACAGUGUUAGCCGGGAGCACCGAGUCCAUGAUCUCUUGGGAAAAUGGCAUAGGAAAGCUGCAUGGUGGGGAUGGGGGUGCAGAUCUGUCCCCAGCCGCACGCUCCUCCCGCUCCUGAAGGGCUUUGCGCAGCUCUUCGUUGAUACUGUUGAGCUCUUUGUUCCUUGCUUGCGAGGCCACCAGCGCCUCGUGCAUCCUUUCCUGUUCAGAACGUGAUGCAGCCACGUUCUCCUGCAGCGUCCUCAUCAUGUCCAUCACUUGCGUCAUAGACACAGCAUCUUCGUCUGUUGAUGGCGCAACUGAACUGGAGCGUGUUGUCCUCAUCCUUCCUCAGCAAACUCAACAGUUCAAAGAACUCCAAACAAACGGUGAAAACUCCAGGAAUCGACUGCGAUAGCGAGCAGUCGAACAGGAAACACCAAAACACCACAAACACGAACUAUGGUUGGGAAUCACCUUUUAUACGGCCCCACGGUGGGCGUCAGAUGAUCCUGCCGGUUGACUUAGCGCAAGAGCGUUGCCUCGUCACCGUCUUCCCCACCAGCUUGUCACCACGUGUCCUCCAAGCCCACACAGCAGAUAGCCUCUCUGAGAACCUGAAAAACACACAGUGGUGCCUCUGCGGCCGGUGGCGCUCCGACGCUCAAGUCAGUGACAAGAACACCCAAAAAACUAAGAGAAAAAUAUGCUCUGUAGGACCGUACUGUAGGCACACAACCCUAGCAGUAUCAGCCGUAAUGAAAACGUAUCUCUGCAAAUUCUGUUAAGGUUACCUUUAUAGCUAGGUUUCUUCUCUCUCCAAGCCGUUAUGCUUUUGGACGCGUGGCUCGCAUCCAGCCCUGCACGUGUCGCCAUGUGGGCUGGGAUAGCAGGUAGUGCCCAGCCCUACACGUGUCGUCAUCUGAGCUAAGGCAACUUGAGCGUCAUUUCUCCAUCGCUCCCAGCCCUACACGUAUCAUCAUCUAGGUUGGAGUAACUGGUGACAUCCAACCCUACACGUGUCAUCAUCUGGAUUAGGGUAACUUGAACGUCAUUCUUGUGUAGUAACCAGCCGCACAGCUAAGUCCUCAAGUCAAGGAGCAACCUAGCACAUAAUGCGCUGUGAAACACCAUCCGACAAGGCGAGUAUCGGAUGCAACAAAGUGCAACAUCUCUAUGAUAUCGCUCGCCGCGAAUGGCACCCUCAUUACUGCUACGGCAUGCAUGUUCUAGCUGGGGAAACCUUGCCACCAACGAAUGUCCACUCUGGGAAUCUUGUCGCUGAUGUGCAAGGUGUUCCCCCCAACCCACUCAACCUUCAUGCCCCAUUCUGGUGCCACAAUCGUCUUAUUGAACUUACACGCUUGGAAUUACCCUUCUGAGCCUUCAACAGCCUUAACUAAGUUCGCUGGGAGACCCGGCGAUGUGCUCCUUGUGGCGGCGUGUAAACCACCCGAUCUCCUAGCAUUCUCAUACGGUGACUGCGACGUAACUCUGGUGAUCGACGGUUACGCACGCUAGAGAUCGGAGAACGCCAAUUCAGCGAUCGGCGACUAUGCCCACUUCCGAGCCAUUCAUCUUUUCUAGCCUACGCAUUCCAUUGAGCACGCCCCACUCGAGCACGUGCAAGACACGUCAUCACGCCUGAUGACCUGGUCGGUACAAGAAGCAUAACAUACCUGAGGUACGAGGCUAACUGCGGAUCCUUAGCCUAGUACUCACCUAUGACGUGCCCGGUAACCAACAACGAGUCACUCUUCACCAACAAACUUUGAGCACCCAACUCCUUGGCCAACAAUAUCCCUAUCAAGGCUUCGUAUUCAGCUUGGUUGUUGCUUGCUUUGAAGGCAAACCUCAGGGCUUGCUCGAUUAACAACCCGCUUGACCCUUCUAGAAUGACCCCAUCUCCAUGCCGUGUUGGUUAGAGGAUUCCUCCACUGAAAUGACUCACUGGAAGUCAUUAGGAUUUGGUUGAGGACCCUUAGAUGACAACUCUACCAUAAAAUCAGCAUACAUUUGGCCCUUGAUAGGCCCUUGGGGUUCAUACUGCAUAUCAAACUCAGACAACUCAACUACCCAACGGACCUUCCGACCUGUUAUGUCGGGCUUUUGGAGGACGUUGCGGAUGACCAAAUCAGUCAUCACUAUUACAGUAAAGCUGUGGAAGUAGUGGCAGAGCCGCUGAGUUGUGAAUACCACUGCCAAAACGACCUUCUCAAUGGCCUGAUACCGGGUUUCUGGCCCUUGCAGCACCUUGCUCACAAAGUAGACCGACUUUUGGACCCUAUCUUGCUCUUGCACAAUGGUCGAGAUGAUUGUUCGAUCUGUGAUCGUAAAAUAAAGACGAAUGGGAGUACCUGGCAACGACUUACAAAGAACAGGUGGGCUGGCCAAGUACUCCUUCAACCUGGUGAAGGUCACUUCACACUCACGAGUCCAUACAAAUCGGUUAUUCUUCUUCAAGCAUUGAAAUUAAGGAUACCCCUUAUCUCCUCUAACGAACAAGAAUCGAGACAAGGCAACUAUACGUCCAGUUAACUGCUGGACUUUCUUCAAGAUGACAGGGCUUCUCAUUCCUAUGAUUAUCGCGCACUUGUCGGGCUUCGCCUCUAUACCCUGUUCAGCGAGAAAAAACCCAAGGAACUUCCCUGCUUCCACCCCAAACACAUACUUUUCUUGGUUCAGCUUCAAGUUGUACUUUGUUAUCAUAGUGAAUAGCUCUUCUAAAUCAACAAUGUGUUGAUCCUUCUCUUCUGAUGUGGCGACCAUGUCGUCCACAUAUGCCUGCACACUUCGCCCAAUCAUUGGGGCGAGAAUUAUGUCCAUCAACCUAUGAUAAGUGACACCAAUAUUCUUGAGGCCAAUGGGCAUGACCUUAUAGCAGUAGUUAGAGAGCUCGGCCGUGAAGGAAAUCUUACUCUUACCCCUGGGGUGCAUACGAAUCUGGUUGUACCCCGAGAACGCGUCUAGGAAACUCAACACUCAACAACCUGAGGGACUGUCCACCAAGGAAUCUAUACUUGACAGUGGAUAAGAGUCCUUGGGACAGGCCUUGUUUAGGUCGGUGAAGUCGACGCACAUCAUUCACUUCCCAUUAGCCUUUUGUAUCAACACAACGUUACCCAACCACUCAGGAAUUGGAUUUCCCUUAUGUGGCCAGAAUUCAGAAGCUUCUGCGUCUUUUUUUUUAUGAUCAGAUGCCUUUCCUUAUUGAAUUCCGUCUUUCUCUGGACUACCGACCUGACCUUUUCAUCCAUAGAGAGCCUAUGGCAUAAAAAAUAUGGUUCUAUCUCGGGCAUGUCCACGGAUGACCAAACGAAAGCAUCCAUGUGCUUCGAUAUUACCUCGACUAUCUUGUCCUGCAAUUCUUGACAUAUCGACGUGCCGAGCUUGAACUUCUUGCCUCCUAUUUCCUUUUCCUGAACCUCACCAGCAGGUCCAGGUCGCCUUUCAUUGGCGAUUUCAGCUUGCAUAAUUUCUUCUAGCUCUUCCGCCUGAACAGUGAUUGAGUAUGUUCCCCUUUUACUUUUCAAGAUACUCUCAUAACACUUCCUUACCAUCUUCUGAUCAAGCUUGAUGAUGAUCACUCCUUCAUCAGGGAAGGCAACUUCUUCUUCAUGUGCCUCGUUGAGGACACUGCAUCCAACCUGUUCAAAGAGGGUCUUCCCAAAAGCAAAUUAUAAGCUGAAGAAGCAUUAACUACAAUGUACCUGACGUUAAUCAUCCAAGCUGAGGUGCCAUCUGAAAAAGUUGUCUACAACUCGACAUAUCCACGUACUCUCACCUGAUCUCCCGCAAAGCCAAACAAGCAACCAUCGUACGACUUUAGCUGGUUAGAAGACAACUGAAAAUUAUUGAAUGUCGACCAGAACAUCACAUCAGUUGAGCUUCCCUUAUCAAUGAGAACUUAUUGUACCUUUCUUCCAAUAAAAAGACAUAUAUCACCACCGAAUCAUCUUCGUGAGGGACCACAUCCUCCAAGUCAGAGCUCAUAAAGCAGAAGGCGGGCUCUAGUGGAUGGUCAGGUUUCCUCGCCUCAACUAUCAUCACUUCUCUCGCGUAUCUCUUAUGCUUGGAGGUAGUGCACUGUCCUCCCAAGAAUCCUCCCGAGAUGGUGUUCAACUCUCAAUGGAUCGGUACCUCAUGCACUUGGUCCCUAAGAGCAACCUCUUCCUUCGAGACUUCCUGGUCCCCCUCAAGGUAUUCCUUUAAGAAUCCUUCCUUCACCAAACAUGCCAAAUUCCCCCUCAAGGUAACCUAGAGCUAUACAUCGCUCAACAUCGUGCCCAAAUUCCAUGUGGAAUUCGCACCAGACCUCCCUUUGUGGACCAUGAUUCCUGUCAUACUUCUGAGGGAAUUUCUACUUUUUUACAACCCCUGAUAUGCUCAACAAUUCCUUGUAAGACAUUUGGAAUUUAGGUCGAAAUGGAAAAUCUUCUCAGGCCUUCGCCUUGGGGACGUUCUUCCUGGUUGGAUAUGGUGCGCGCCUCAAGUCCGUCCUCUUCUCGGUUGUGGUUUCGUUGACCCUUAGAGGUCGAGAUCGGCUACCCUCCUUAGGUUUUAAGUACCUGGAUAGGUGUUGCUAAGCUUCACAGACACUGCCUCCUUCGCAUUAAUGUGGGCGACAACUUGUCGUCGUAUUUCGACAAAUCUCUCUACCAGAUUUCUGAUCAAUAAGUCACUAAAUGGUCCUGCCAUGACUCCCUAUUCGAAGGCGUUGACCAUCAGGGCCUCGUCAUGGGUCUGGAGCUUCAUUGUAAACGCCCAUAACCUGUUUAAAUAGUUUUUUAGAGACUCACCAUGUCUAUGUUUCACGCUGAAGAGAUCAAAUGAAAUCGGAGGUUUUGCUUGGUUGAUAGAGAACUGUUCCCUGAACAGCUCGGAAAAUUGGUUGAAGAAGGUGAUGUGGCCAUUAGGAAGCCCACUAAACCACUGUAGGGUUGUACAUGUGAAUGUACCCUUGAACAUCUUGCAAUCGAUAGAAUCUGUUCCCCCAGAAAUAAUCAUUUGGGCAUUGAACAUCGUAAGAUGGUUUUCAGGGUUUUCUACUCCUUUGAAACGAUCUUAGGCGUAAUGUAGUGUGGUAGCACAGGCGACUCCAUGAUCUCCUGCGAGAAUGGCUUGGGACGAGCUAUCGGGGGCGCAUUAGAACCUCGCUCCCUUGUAAAGCGUUGAUCAAGUUGUUGUAGAUUCUUGCGCAAUUCAUCAUUGGCCUUGCGCAAUUCCUUACCGUUCUCUCGUGACGCAUCUAUCUCCGGCAUCAGUUGAUCUUGCCUAAGAAUUUUCUCAACUCUAGCUUUUUCAUAAGCUUUUCCUGUUCGGAUUUAGCCUCGGUCAUUAGCAUGUCCUGCUCAGCUUUGGCUUCUGCCAUCAGCCUUUCCUGCUUGAAUUUGGCCUCUUGUUGGAUCCACUCCUGCUCUCGCCUGUAUUGUUCGUUGGCUUCUUGGAGAGCUCUCACAGUGUCCAUGAGCUGUUGUAGGGUGGGGGCGUCGUUCCCUUCAUAUCUUAGCGCUCUUUGCCUAGUGUUCCUCAUAUCGCUGGAAAACUCAAACACAACUAUGGAUGGGAUCAAUUUUUAUCGGGCCCCACGGUCAAAUGUUCUUGCCGGUUGACUCUAGUGACAAGCUCUAACUCUGGUCUAUCUCCUCUGGAAUCUGUUCUACGUCUUAUUGCACUGGAACGUGGCUCCAUUGAAAUAGAAGGGACUCCAUCUGUUUACAUGGGCACCCUUACUCAUGGUGCAACGUUAUAUUUCACUAUGAAUGCAACUUAACCACUACGUGCCGUAAAUGCACACUUAGGUUAAAAUAUAUUUACGUGACUUAACCACUACGUGCACUAACACGCACCCUUAGGUUAAGAAAUAUCUUUUACUAAUAACCUUAUCUUAGAGUAUCAAAAUAUUAUUUCAAUUAUUCUCCAACGGGCUUACUAGUAUAACUGGGCUAAACUCAUGACCCACCUUAUAGGCCCAAUAGACGAGCUGACCUACCUACACCGUGCACCGAGUUCCAAUCACUGAGCACUGAGCACUUUGUACAAUACAAUUAGUAUAUAUCAAUUUAAUUAGUUAUAAUACCUGCAAAAGACAUAUGCAUAGUUAAAACAAGUAAAGAAAAUUACCCUCACUAUAAUCGGUUUUGCUAAUCUAACUGGCCAAAGAAUAAAAUUCCAAGGGGCCUGUCCCAUUGUCUGAACCUCCUUAGUAGGCAUAAGGAUUCGAGAAACAACAUCUCGAACAUCUACAACCACCACUCUUAUCAUAUCAUCUGCAAUUGUUUGCUGGUGGAUGGUUGACCCUAACAUGUACAUUUUACCUAAGGCAACCGAAUAAUGUAAUUGAAAGAAAAUAAAUAAUAUAAUUAGAUUAAACAUAUAUGCAUCAAACAAUAUCUAUAAAAUAAAAAUUAGCUAAGGCCACUAAGCACUUAGAGGGAUCAUCAAUGUACAAUUCGCAAUCUGCAAGGAUAGUAGGACCAGCCUCCCCUGAUCCUUCAGGAGCAUCACAACUCCCCUUUGUACUUAUACGAAUAGGGGAAGGCUUUGAAGUGGUAGCAAAAGGUUCAACAAACAUGGAUGCUAACUUUGCUCGCAUGUCUAAUAACAACUUUGUCUUCAAUUCAGAGUAUACUUCCUUCUUAGUUUCCUUCCUAAUCUCUUCUUUGAGGGACUCCAUCUCGAUUUGACUAAGAUGUGAUUUACUAUAAUACCGAGGUGGAGGACCAAAGAAUUUCAGAUGCCUACCUCGUCCUGCAAAUUAUGUUUAUGUGCAGAUGGGUUUAAUCCUUUUGGUCAAUAUGGAAAAAGUUACUCUUAUUAGCUAGUUAUCCUAACCCCAUACAACUUUCGCCUUCCAUAUGCAUGAAGAGGGUGUUUAUGUUUUGACAGUCUUAUUUCCAAGUCCUUUAAAUCCAAAGCAUAAGAUUGAUGUGUUCUUGCAACCACUCAUAGAUGAGUUAUGCACCUUAAGGACGAAGGGAUAUUGACUUAUGACGUGUCACUAAGGCACACUUUUAUGAUGAAAGUUGCUUUGAUGUGGAGAAUUAAUGACUUAACAGCUUAUGGCAUGUUAUCGGGUUGGUUGGCUUCUGGUAGACUUGCUUGCCCUAUAUGUAUGGAAAGAACAAAGACAUUCUAUCUUAGUCAUAGCCACAAGAUAUCCUUUUUCGACUGUCAUCGUCAGUUUUUUUCACCUGAUAAUUCAUUUUGGAAGAAUAAAAAGGCAUUCAAGAAGAAGUUUGUUGAGAGUGAUCCCCCUUCUCCACGUUUGUCUACUCUUGACAUUUGGAAUAGGGUUGCACACUUACCAAUUUGCACUGAAUUACAAGAACAAAAAAAUAUUCUUGAAUAUGGUAUUAAACAUAAUUGGAAGAAACAAAGUAUAUUCUAGAGGUUGGCAUAUUGGAAAACUCAACUUUUACGUUACAAUAUUAAUGUUAUGCACACAGAGAGUGUUCAUGAUUGUGUUUGACACUGUGAUGGAUAUCAAAGGGAAAACUAAGGACACAAACAAGGCUCGAUUGGAUAUAGCACAAAUAUGAAAUUGAAAAGAGCUAGAGUUGAAAGACAUUGGUGGUGGCAAACUUAUCAAACCAAAAGCAACAUAUGCAUUUACCAAUUCCCAAGAGUCUUUAUUUGUAAAUAGGUUAAAGAACUUAAGUUUCCAUAUGGAUAUGAUUCCAAUUUGGGUAGAUGUGUUUACCUUAAUCAAGGCAAGUUAGAGGGCAUGAAAAGUUAUGAUUGUCACGUGUUCAUGCAACGAUUGCUUUCAAUUGCAUUUGACGCAUUACCAAAAUCAAUUUGGAAAGUUCUUAUUGAACUUAGUCUUUUCUUUAGAGGAUUAAGUUCGAAAACACUAAAUGUUGAACACCUAAGAGUUAUGGAAGAAAAUAUUCUUAUGUUAUUGUGUAAAUUGAAACAAAUAUUUCCACCAAGCUUCUUUGAUUCCAUGGAAUAUCUUUCAAUUCAUCUACCUUAUAAGGAAAAAGUUGGUAGUCCUGUCCAAUAUCGUUGGAUGUAUCCAUUUGAGAGGUAUAAAAUUACUAAUAACUUUUAUAACAUUUUUUGUUUAUUUAUUUAAUAUUUUAUAUUAUGUACACCCGUAUUCUUUUUUAGGUUUUUACACUCCCUAAAAAAGAAAGUAAAAAAUAAAGCUAGGGUGGAAGACUCUAUUUCUAAAGCUUACUUAGUGGAGGAAACAUAUACAUUUGCCUCAUUUUAUUAUCCUGAUCAUGUUGAAACAAGAAGGACUAGGAUCUUUCAUAAUCUUGAAGUAGGUGAGAGUUCUUCAUGUGCUCCUCCUAUUUCAAUUUUCAAUUAUUCAGGAAGAGAAAUUGGAAAAUGCAUGACAUAUUAUCUAAACCAAAGAGAUUUUGAUGCUUCUCAAUUGUAUGUGUUAGAAUUGUAGGCCUAAAACAAGAGGGGGGUGAAUUUUUUUAAAUUUUUUUUUUUCAAACUUUGAAGGUGUGGAGAAAGUUAAUGAAGAAUCAAAAACAAAGGAAUGAAAAUGCUCAAGUUACAAAACUGCUUUGUUGAUUUCCAGAAAAUCAAUCGAUUGUUUUUGCGAUUCAACCGGUUGUUUUUAUCAGCAGUUUAUAAAAACAACUAAAAGCAUAUAUAAUUGAGAUUAGGGAAAGAGAGAAUCACACAAACAAAUUUGUACUGGUUCACUUUUACACCAAGAGCUACAUCUAGUCCCUAGAAAUCACUAGGUAUUCCACUAUGUAAUCAACCACAGAUUACAACCCCACACACACACCAAAGAAGUGAUCUUGAACCCCUAAAAAACACAAACUUCCUUUAGCAAUACAACACACGACAAAUCAGAACACCCUCGACUCUGUGCAACACAAUUCUUUACAUAAAUACAAAGAUUAAAAGAAGAGGAAAGAGUACACCUGGAUCAAUUCACAAAAUAAAAAAAUGACUUAACACAUAAUAGUCUGAUGAGCAUAUAUUUAUUCACACUUAAUAGCUUUAAUCAUAGAUUAUUGGACUAUAAUAAUAAAUAAAUCUGUUGUUUUAAUUAAUAUUUGUACCGCCCUGGUAGUCGGAAGUGAUGACGUGGCAUCAAACUAUUGUAUAGGCGUGUUGAUGGGAUGCCUGGCUGGCAGAAGGGAAGGAAGUCGAGGGGCUCGUGUAGUCGCCAGUUAUUAAGUUGGCGUGCUCCGAUCUCCAGCACACCAGAACCGGCGGUCACCGGGUUGAAGAUGAAGUCGCCAGAUGUAAACCCAGGCGACCAAGUGAUUAGAGAUCGUCGAAACAAGGACAUCGCCGAAGAUGAAGGCAGAUAGACAUUUCCCAGCUGGCCAGAGGAUGAGGUCGGGGGACAGCUUACUUGAGCAUAUACGAUGAAACAGGCGGUGCAGAUCAUGAAGGCGGCCGGCGAGACCACAGGGAAGGUGUGUACGAAGGCACCCAAACUCGCCAUCCAGAAGAGAUCACGCUCCAAGGCAACUAUGCACUGAGUAGUAUCAUGCAUAAGUAACUUAGCCAAAAGAGAGUCAGAAGUAGCGCCCAAGUCAAGGAUGCUCCAGAUGAUGGCACGUGUACAGCUGGAUGCGAGCCACGUGUCCAGAUGUGUAACUGCCAGGAGAGAGAAAGUGUCCAGGUAUAUAAGAGUUUCCCAACGAACUUCUGAGGUACGCACGUUCAGAUUGUCUUCUUUACGCUUGCGAGUCUUGAGUAUACUGAGAGAGAACAUUGCACGGUUCCUUGAGAGUUCUUGAGUGUUACUCUUAGUAAUUGGUGGUUCAGUCGCUGACUUGGGCGUCGGAACGUGAUCGGCCGCAGCAACGCCGUUCUGUUCUUUUGCAGGUUCUUGAGGUGAAUCACGGUGAAAGACGGAGGCUGACACGGCGCACACGUCAAUCCAAGUUUGACGAGGCAAAGCUCCAGCGUUCUGGUCAACAGGCAGGAUCAUCAGGCGCCCACCGUGGGGCCGUGUAAACCUGUUCCCAUCCACAGCGCGAGUUCUUGGAGGUUUCUGCAGUUUCCGUGUGGUUGUGUGCUGGUGCAACCAUUGUCCGCUGUUCAUCUAGGUUUUGUUCGGUGAUUUCGCGUUUUCCACCGUUCGUUUGGAUUUUUGUUCGGUGAGGUGAACGUUCUUGCUGCUUACGCGAGUUUUGAUCGGUGAGAUCUGAGUUCUUUGGCUCGUUUGGUUUUUCGUGGGAGAAGCGUCAGUUUCUGGUGGAGUUGCAGGUUUUUGUGGAGGUUCGCUGUGUUCUUGAGGUUUCUUUCGGAGUUUCGCGAAAUUCUGACCGAUUGAUCGCUGAAUUGAUCGUCGCUGAAGAAGGUGUUGUUCAUUACUCUCUGUGAUUUGUCAAGUUUUCAUGAGAAAAAUGAGAAGCAACCGUUCAAGUCCAGUUGCGCCCGUUGCCGCUGAAGGCGCCAUGACUAUGGCGCAUAUGGUGGAAAUCAUGCAUUUGCUGCAGGCGAAUGUGGAAGCCUCGCAUAUAGAGCAGGCAAGAAUGCACGAGGACCUGGUCGCCUCUCGGGCCAGGAAUGACGAGCUUAGCAGAGUGACUGAAGAACUGCGUCAAGCUCUUCAAGAACAGCGAGGGCGUCCAGUCGCUGAAGAGGUCGCGCCGUCAACGCUGCCUCGCGUUUUACCUAUGCCUUUUGCUCAGGCGAUUACCGACACGCCUAUCCCUGCGAGUGUGGUACCUGUGAAGGCUAUUUUCACCGGCGUGGAGGAUCCUGAAGCUCAUCUCACCACGUUCCAUACGCAGAUGAUGUUGUCAGGAGGAUCAGACGUCGUGUACUGCAAGAUGUUUGUGAGCACACUCCAGGGAACGGUGCUGGAAUGGUUUGUGAGCCUGCCUACAGGUCACAUAACAAACUUCCAACAGUUUUCAAAGAUCUUUGUCGAGCAGUACAUCGUGAACAAGGCACCGCCCAGGGUGUCUUAUGACUUGUUCGACAUAAGGCAGUAUCAGGGAGAGUCCCUCGGGGACUACAUGAAUCGUUUUGGGGCGCAGAUGGUCCGAUCGCCGGCCAAAGAUGAAGAAAUGCUGGUCUACGCAUUUAAGAAGGGCGUGCUGCCGGGACCAUUCUGCGAAGCAUUGAUCAGGGCUCACCCUGCCACGUUUGCUGAGGUCAGGCGACUUGCGGUGGCCCACAUCGCCGAUGAGAGUGAGGUCCCCGAGAAGAGAGGAAGCGUGGCUCCCGCUAGGCCACGCGCCCAGACCAGGAUCCAGCCACAGAGGGUGUUGGAGACAGCGCCGGCUAGGAGGGAUCAGAGGACUCGCCAUCCUUACGAUCCAAGGAAGAACAAGGACAGGGGCCAAGGGCGCCCUCAACCAGCACGCCGGGAGUACAAUCGCCCGCCUAAGCACAAGUUUGUCAUGGGAUUGGCGGACCUGAUCGCCAUUCCCAAUAUAUCAGCUAGGUUGAAAGCGCCCGAGAAGGUGGGUGACAAGGUGCUGGGACCAAAGCCAGACGCCUGGUGUGAGUUCCACCAGGGCUUUGGCCACACCGUGGAUUCGUGCUUGGCUUUAGGAUACCAGCUCGACGAUUUGGUCAAGAGCGGGUUCCUAAACGACUACUUGCUGGACAGAAGGACGGGGGGCGCGUCGAGCUCCCAACCAGCAGGUGGUGAGGCUCAGCAGCACGGGAUGCCUACACACGGGGAAAUCCACACCAUUGCAGGGGGUUUCUCGGGUGGUGGAUGCACCGCGUCACAAAGGAAGAAGUACGCGAGGUCUGUGAUGACGGUGGAUAUGUUUGAAGACCACUCGCCGGAUGUGGACAUUACGUUCACAAAGCAAGAUCUUCGGGACGUUGUGCCUCAUGACAACGACCCCAUAGUCAUCUCGCUGAUCACAGCAGGAAGGAAGGUCCACAGGGUUCUGGUGGACCAAGGAAGCUCGACAGACGUGAUGUUCUGGCCGACUUUCACGCAGUUGGAGCUACCCCUUGACCAGCUGAGGCCCUAUGGAGGGUGUUUGUAUGGUUUCGCUGGUGACCAGGUGGAGGUCAGGGGGUACAUUGAGUUGAGGACUACGUUUACAGAUGAGGCGGGUUCGAGAACAGAGAAAAUCAAGUACCUUGUCGUAAAUGCUCCCUCAGCAUACAAUAUUCUGUUGGGAAGACCCACGCUCAACAGAAUAGGCGCUAUACCGUCGACCCGGCACAUGAAGGUGAAGCUGCCGUCUAUGGAGGGGGUGGUGAUCACCAUCAAGUCCGACCAGAAAGAAGCGAAGAAGUGCUAUGAGAAUAGCCUGAAGAACAAGAGGUCGGUGAGUUACGUGACAACCACCCCGCCUCCUGGUGUGAAGCCCAGACCGACGGUAAUGGAAGAGACCGCCGGAAGUGACGUGGUGAUGGCGGAUGCUGAGCUGGGGGAGGGGAACGCCGAUCUAGAGGAAGAAGAGGCAAGGAAUCGCCCUGAGGAAGCGAGGGAGCUGGGAAUCGCCAGGGCGGUGAUCGCCAGAGAAACCAGGCCAAAACCCGUCGAGCAGUGGCUCGAAAGAGAGAUUGGAGGAAAGAUCUUCAAGCUGGGAAGAUCUCUGGAGGUUGAGCUCUAGGACCAGAUCGCCAAGGUGAUAGAACGGCAUCUGGAUGCGUUUGCAUGGUCCGCUUCGGACAUGCCCGGGAUCGAUCCCGAUUUCCUGUGCCAUCAUUUGGCGAUGGACAAUCAGGUCAGACCGGUACGCCAGAGGAGAAGGAAGUUCAACGAGGAGAGGAGGCAGGCGAUUAGAGACGAAACACAAAAACUCCUCGCUGCAGGCCAUAUCAGGGAGGUGCAGUACCCUGAUUGGUUGGCCAAUGNNNNNNNNNNNNNNNNNNNNNNNNNNNNNNNNNNNNNNNNNNNNNNNNNNNNNNNNNNNNNNNNNNNNNNNNNNNNNNNNNNNNNNNNNNNNNNNNNNNNNNNNNNNNNNNNNNNNNNNNNNNNNNNNNNNNNNNNNNNNNNNNNNNNNNNNNNNNNNNNNNNNNNNNNNNNNNNNNNNNNNNNNNNNNNNNNNNNNNNNNNNNNNNNNNNNNNNNNNNNNNNNNNNNNNNNNNNNNNNNNNNNNNNNNNNNUUGGGUUGAAGAACGCGGGGGCCACGUACCAAAGGUUGAUGGAUCGAGUACUUGCACCAAUGCUGGGAAGGAAUGUGCAAGCGUACGUGGAUGACAUGGUCGUGACCUCGCCAGAGAAAAGCAAGCACGUUGCGGACUUGGAGGAGUUGUUCACUACGAUCGCCAAGUUUAGGUUGAAGCUGAAUCCUGAGAAGUGCAUCUUUGGCGUGGAGGCUGGAAAGUUCUUGGGUUUCCUCUUAACCGAAAGAGGAAUAGAAGCCAACCCUGACAAGUGUGCCGCCAUCUUGGCGAUGAGGAGCCCGACCACCGUGAAGGAAGUGCAGCAGCUUACAGGUCGGAUGGCCGCCCUGUCUCGCUUCGUGUUGGCUAGCGGAGAGAAGGGCCAUCCAUAUUUCCAGUGCUUAAGGCGCAAUAACAAAUUUGCCUGGACGAAGGAGUGUGAGGAAGCCUUCGUCAAGCUUAAGGAAUAUCUGGUGAGCCCGCCGGUUUUGUGCAAACCGCUGGUGGGAACCCCUCUCAGGUUGUAUUUUGCUGUAACUGAGAGGGCGGUGAGUGCGGUGCUCGCCCAGGACCAAGAUCAGGCUCAAAAGCCUAUUUAUUUUGUUAGUAAGGUGCUGCAGGGCCCCGAAACGAGGUAUCAGGCCCUGGAGAAGGCUGCACUGGCAGUAGUCUUUUCGGCGAGGAGGUUACGCCACUAUUUCCAUAGCUUCAUGAUACUGGUGAUGACCGACCUGCCCAUCCAGAAGUUCUUGAAGAAGCCCGAUGUUGCGGGGAGGAUGGUGAAGUGGGCAGUGGAGCUGUCGGAGUUUGAUAUUAAGUAUGAGCCCCGAGUUAUGAGGUAAUUUGAGUUAUGAUUACAUUUAAAAUGUUCUUCUAUUAUUCUACAAUGUUUUUUUUGUAAUUGAUUUUUCAUGCAGAAAUAGUAUAGGCAGGGAUCUGGAACAAGACCAACUUAUUAGAUUUAUUUUUUGAAAAAAAAGGCUCCCGUAUCUUUAAAAAUGCUAUGAAUAAAGUUAGGCAUGGUCAAGAUAAGGGGGCCUGAAUUCCACCACUUGUUCGAGCAACCUUGGAUGAAAAUUAGAAUUUUACAAAUUUAGAAAACAAGAGUGUCAUUGUCAAGGCAAAUCGGGGUGUUGAGAAGGGAGCCUUAGCCUAUUGUGGUGGUUCCAUAUCUACAACAUCUCACUUUGAGAAAAUGGUAAUAUUUUUAUGUUUUCUAUAUUUAAUUUAAAUACAAUAUAUUAGACUUGGUUAUUAAAUUAUAUCUUUUCAUUAAAUUUAUAUAUACUAAGGAGCUUGAACGACAACCAACUAUUUGGAAGACUGUAGAGAAAACAAAGAAAUUGAAAACUGGUCAAUGAGUCAAUGACAAGACCUGCGACCUUGCGGUAUGUUUAAACUUUAAGUUAUAAUUUACUUUUUACUAUAUGUUUUCUUCACAAUAAUCAAUUUGACUUUAUUUUCAGGAGAAAUAUAAGCAACGCCGAGGAAAAACCAAACAACAAUAGAUGCUUGAAGGCUCAUCUUCGCAAAACUCUCAUGAUGCCUCCAUUGAUGACAAUGAAAUAUACAUUGAUGUUGUUGGAGGUGGAAAUAAAAAAAGGGAAUGUCUAUGGUCUUGGUGUAUUGAGCAAAAGGUUUAAUAGUUCUACAAGUGCUCACUCUGCUACAAGCCAGACUCCUGAUAAGUGUCUGAUUUCAAUAAUAUUUCAUAUUAAAAUAUAGGAACUUAUGAGGAUUUAUUGCUAAUUACAUAUAAAAUAAUCCCUAAUUUAUGAAUUUAUACAUUUUUACAUUUUUUAUGAUCAUUAUUUGAAUAAGAGCAUUUUAUUCCCAAAUUUGGUGUCAAUUGCAGAUGUUUAGGUAUGAUUGAAGAUUUGGAGUAAAGGAGAAUAAUUCGAGCUAAAGGGAGAAAGCUGGAAGGUCCCAGAAUAGAAAAAGAUGGAGAAAAAAAGACUAUUUCGCAAUAGUAGUAUCUCGCUCAAGUGAGAUAUUCUCGCUUGAGCGAGAAUGCGUCAAAAAGAUUGGGCCUUUUUUUAUGUUUUAUCACUUAGCCCAUUAGCGCCACACAGGAAGCGACCUAACCUUAGAAAAUUAGGUUAAAUAAGGGGCUAGAGGCUCAACCCUAGUGUGCCAGAUUGAGAGGAAAACAACAUAGAGUGAAUUGUAACCCAAUUGGGAGAAUGGAAGGUGCUAGAAGUAUGCGUGUCUAAUUCUACCCUUUGAGAUUUAAAGUAAUAUGUUCAAACUCUUAUGUAUUGAGGUGAUAUCUUAUAUAUUAAUAUUCAGUUCUUGAUUGAUUAUUGGUAUUGUUUUUUACUUUUAACUUUUAAUGACAAAUUGAGAAUCUUAAAUCUGACCAGGGGGUAUUUUUAGGGUUCAGACCUGAACAACAAUACUUAACAUAUUUGAGUGUUAGGGAUAGACUUGAAAUGUUAAUGCCAUUAACCUCUGAAUGUGAUUCUAAGUUGUUUUUAUAAAUAUGCGAGGGAUCGAUAUUUAGGAAACAUUCUUAAGGAUUUUAUAUGCGAGGGAUCGAUAUAAAUUAAAUUUUCUACGCGUUUCAAUUUCAAUCAAAGAACUCAAUAUUAUCAUGCUAAUUAAAAUACAUGAGAAUAGGAGAGAUGAAACCUAAUCCCUAUUUUUCUAAUUAAAGCAACUAAUUCUUUGUUUGUUUUCUUAUAGAUCAGUGCCAACACAAUCACUUCAAACUCUUUUUAUUGUUCUGUUGUUAUAUUUAACGAAUAUUGUACUCGAUAAUUCAUUGUUCCUUGUGGGAUCAAUAUCCUUAGGGACAAUUAUUACUUCUGACAAACACGGUGCACUUGCCGUAAAAAGUCAUUAAAUUUUUGGCACGUUGCCGGAACAAGUUUGAUUUGUUGAACGUUGUCGGGAACAAGUUUGAUUUGUUGAGUAUAAUUUUUUAAAUAUUGUGAAUAUUUUAAUUGUUUCAAUUUUUUUUUAAUUUUGUGUUUAUAUUUGUUACUAUUUUUAUUUUGUUUUAAAAAAAAUUAUUUUUAUUUUAUUUUAAUUUUGCAGAGCUGUUAUUAUUUUAAUUCCUAUUUUGUUUUUAUUUGUUUCUAUUUAUUUUGAUUUUCUUUUGAUUUUAUAAUAUUUUAUUAUUCUUUAUUUUAGUUAUUUUUUUUAGGUUUAGUUACGUAGUUUUAUUUAGGUUUACAUAAUUUUUAUUUAUUUGUUUUAAUUAUUUAUCAUUACUAAUUUUAGUUUUUAUUUUUACGUAAACUUAGUUUACGUAGUAUCUUUAAAGUUAGUUAGUUGUUUACUAUUAUAAUUUUCUGCUUUAGAUUUAUUUUGUUUUUAUUUUACUCCUAGUAUUUAUUUGUUAUUUUAAGUAUGUUAUUUUGAAGUUUUUAUUUAUUUUUGUUUUAUAUUUUUUAUUUAUUCAUUUUUUUUUGUUUUAUUGUUUUGUUUUAUUUUGGUCUUUAGUUUUUAGUUUACGUAAGUUGUUAUCUAUAUAUUUUUUUUUUCUGAAUAUUUUCGUUAUUUUUUUUCUCUUAUCGUCAUUUUAGUAUUUUUUUUGUUUAUUCUUUUAAUUUUUGUUUAUUUUAUUUUAAAAAUUUGUUUUUAUUUUAUCUUCAAUUUUUUUGAAUUUUUUUUUAUUUGUUUUUAAUUUUUUUAAAAAAGAAAAUAAAUAUACUCUGUUUUUUUCUCACUAAUAUUUUUCAAGAAGAUAGCAACAUGACAGAAAAGGAGGCAACAGGACACUUGGAGAUUAUAUCAUGUACUGGAGGCCAAUGCAUUAUUCUAGCAUUGCAAUACUUGCUAUCACCAAAGCCUUGGAAAUAAAUCUCGAUUUUCUCACUCUCAUUAGUACCCAUCAAUUCAUAGUAAUGGAACAUGAGGAUCCAUAUUCACAUUUGGACACAUUUUAUGAAUUGGUGAGAACAAUGAGUUUUUAAUCAACUGAUAUUGAAAUUGUUUAAAUGCGUUUGUUUCCUUUUUCAUUGGCAAGAAAGGCUAAGGAUUGACUCAGAUCACUUCCAAAUCAUAGCCUCACUAGAUGGAAGGAUGUAAAUGAAAAAUUUAUGCAAAUAUUUUUUACAAUCUUUCGCUACAUCAAAGCAAAGUAUGAAAUUUAUGUGUUCAGACAAGGAGCAGAUGAAUCAUUCUGUGAGACAUGAGAAAGAUUUAAAAUGAUGCCUAGAAAAUGCCCAAAUCACGAGUUUGAAGAUAUUGCUCAACUGAGCAUAUUUCUCAUUGGUCUUAGAUCAGACACAAAGAUGUUGUAACUGGCGGCACAAUGAUGGCUCUUGAUGUAGAACAAGUGACAAGGAUUAUUGUUGCACUGGCGUCAACUGAUUAUCAAGCCCAACAUGAUAAACAAAAUACUCAUAAGGAAGGGUUGUUAGAAUAUGCACUCUUGGUUCAAAAUAAAAUUCUAACACAACAGAAAUGGCUAAAUUGCCCAACAAUUAUAUGUUGUUCAUUCAUCUCAAAGCCAGAGUUAAUCAACCAGGUUUGAUUUUUGUGGAGGUGGUCAUCCUAAUGGUCAUUGUUCUUAUCAGAACAAUUCACCUGAAGCUGAGGGGCCAUCCAUGCUUGAAAGAAUGAGUAAAGUUGAAGAUGCC
This 75395-nucleotide long non-coding RNA is filed under the name Phaseolus vulgaris (common bean). RNAcentral describes it as "long non-coding RNA (PVUL_LNC002969)". The record is from RNAcentral. Lineage: Eukaryota; Viridiplantae; Streptophyta; Magnoliopsida; Fabales; Fabaceae.